AAAUGGCUUAGAUUUAAAGAUAUGAUGACAUUAAAAAACGAUGAGUUUGGAGCAAUUGCUUAUAUAUCUCUGAAAAAUUUUCGACUUUCUAAUUUACCUCUCUUAAAAGGUUAAUAUUAAAAAUACCAUUUUUACAUUCCAAAUUAUAAAGUUAAAUUCAAUUAGCAAUAGCCGUUAUACCUAUGAAAUUACUAUUUUACCCUUUCAAAUAUACACUUCUUCCAUCACUAAUUUUUCUUAUUUGUCUAAGUUAGAGGUAAAUUUUGUUAGCAAUAGCAGUUAUCUCUGUGAAAUUACUACUUUGCCCUAAAAAGUAUUUUAAUUUUUGAUCUUUUCAAAUAUACUAAAUUUUUUUAUUUGCUCUUAAGUUAAGAAUAAAAGAGGUAUAUUGAUUAUUUUUUAACUCUUGCUAGAAAUUUAACUCACGAAAUAACUUAACGGGUGGUAACUAUAGGAGUAUUUUUGAAUAACGAAAAAAUAUAUAAGAAAUAUAUUGGAAACAAAAAAAAUAAAAAUAAAUUAGAUAUUUUUGAAAUUUUAAGAAAUAUAUAUAUAGAGAAUUAUUCCUUGAAAUUAUCUAGAAGCCAAAUCGCUUGUGGUAAGAUAUCCUCCCAAAGUUAAUCCGAAGUGUGCGUAAAUUUGAGGUUGACCCUCGAAUUUUAUAUAAUUAAGUUUCGGGAUUUUAUGAUUUUCUUUUUUUAUUAUUUUGGACUCUGAAACCCAUGGACUGUUUAAAACUUAAUUAAAAUGAAAAAUUAAAAUGAGGCUCGCAUUUACAUGCUACAUGUCACUUUGGGGUGAAUUCAAAGAGUUGACGAGUCCCUUCCCUUCAAAAUAAUUACUAGUUUUAAACAUAUAAUUUUGACAGAUUUUUUAAAUUUCUAAAUUCAAAAAGAAAAAGCUUUUUCUUUUCAUUGGAAGCUCGAAUAAAUGAGGAAAGAGAGCAUUCCGAGGGUGUUUGGUUUCUCAAAAAAUUCUAUAAAAUUAUAUUUUGCAAAAAAAAUAACUUUUUUUUUUAAUAAUUUUUGUUCUCCAGAUAAAAAAUCUAAAAAAUAAAAAUAAAACUUUUUCAUAAACUCAAAAGAAUUCUAAAAAACUAUUCUUUAAAAAAAACUAAACAACCUUUUCAACUGAAAAUACCUACUCUUUAAAAGGCUCCACAAGUACCAAUGUUUAUUACCACCAAUUAAUGAGCUUAAAAAAAUAAUAACAACCAUAAUUAAUGUGUACAGAGUGAAAGAUUUUAGAACGUAGUUAUACUGGUGAUAAGACUGUCUCCAACCAAUCAAAUGAAUCUUUUUUUAGUUAAUCUAUAAUAUUAUAAUUAUAUAAAAAUAUUUUUAUUAUAUAUAUAUUUUUAAAAGGAGUGAUGCGAUCGAUUUAUUAUUACUGAUGUAGUUUAAGUGCGUGCAAUUCUUAAAACUAAUGGAAAAGUAAAAAACGAAAAAUAAAAAAGCAGCGAUUGUGUCAUUGUGACAACCAUAAACCGCCAAACUCAAGGAAGUCUGUCGCACUAAUGCGACAGUAACGUCUACCCCCAAGCGCACUCCGUUCACACCACCUACCUCUAUAAAAAUAUCCCCAAUUAUUCAGAAUCUAAAAUUUAGUUCUUUACAUCAAUUAAAGAACUCUUAUCUUAUAAUGAAUGAUGCAUUUUACUAUCCGUGCUGCUUGAAGAUUCGAAUUUUUUCUUUGUUUUUUUUUUUUUUUUGUAGAUUAAUUAAAGGGAAGUAGGUAGGUAGGUACCAGAUAUGCCGAUGUCGUAGCCGAAGAUGGAGCCUCCGACGGCGGCGACGAUGCAGGCCAUGACGACGAACGGCGUCACCCGCCCUUUGUACUGCGCCGCCCGCUCCUUCUUGAUUCCGAUCGGCGCGGCCCCUCCGCCCGCCAUCUCUUCUUCUUCUUCUUCUCCUCCCCUUCACCAAAAAUUCUCAACAAACCCAAUUAAACUCGAUCUCUAGCUAAUUAACACUCACUACAAAUUAAUAACAAGUAUACGUGUAUAUAUAUAUAUAAAGCUGGAUAUAUCAUGAACUAAUAAUUAAGAACUCUCGUUGACCCAGCUUUUUUUUUUUUUUCCCUGGCUUUCUCUCUCUUCUCUUGAAUAUAUAUAUAUAUAUAUAUAUAUAUNGGGGUGAGAGAGAGAGAGAGAGAGAGAGAGAGAGAGAGAGGGGGAGGAGAGCAUUAAAUAGCGAUCGAGUAAGUUGGGAACGCAGAGCACAUGGACAAUUCCGGCUUUGUCCGGCUGUUGGCCUUUUUCUUUUUCCUUUUAAGUUGGAUUUUUUUAAAAAAUAAAAACUCAGAAGUGGGAUGUGGAAUUGUGGAUGAGAAGGAGACGUCACCCACAGCAAAUUAAGCACGGAAAGGUGUAUAAUAUACACUCUCUUGUUCUAACAUAUAGAAAACAAGUUUUUCUUAAUAAAAAUUUAGGUAAACUUCAAAUGCUAUCAUGUGAUUUCGCACUUUUCUAUUUUAAUAUUUUAUAAUAAUUUAAAGUGUACCAAAUUUAUAUCACGUGGUUUCAUUUUUAUCUUUUCGUCAGCUUUUUCGUUAAUAUUUCGUUAAAUUAUAUACAAAAAAUUUCAGAUACUCCAUCUAAAUUUAUUGAAUAUUUACUUUAGCACCUUUUAGUUUUAACUUGUCACUGAUUUAACGAAAAUAAUUAGUGAAAUCGAUAAUAAAAUGAUAAAAAUAAAAUCACAGAGCACUAAAUUGAUACACUUUAAACCAUAAAAUACUGAAGUGAAAAAAUGUGUACGUAACUACAGAAGUGGUAUUCGAAGUUUUCCCUAAAAGCUUGUUUGUGGAUCUCUUUACAUGCAACCAAAUACUCAGAGAAAGCGAAAUGAAUUAGAUUUUUUUUUUUUCCUCCUCUAUGGUAUAUUAUUGGUUGGAAUAAAUGGCGUUCGAGCCUUAAUAAAAUUUUAUAUAUAGCAUUGGAGGAGGCAUCAAUCCCAUAUAACCAUUUUGGGUUAAAUAUUUUAUAAUUAUCAAAACUUUCGUCGGGUUACAGGAAACCACCUAAUAUUUUAAAAGUUCAUAUGUACAGUCCGAAGUUUUAAAAUAUUAUAAUUAGUUCAUACUUCAUCAAUCUAAAGUGAUCAAUAUUAGCCAAUCACACAAGAAAUAACAAAAAAUACAUACCAGUGAUAUAGAUAAGCUUUUUUAUAUCAAAUAUAAUUGCUUUUUUUUUUUUUUUUUUUUAGAGAGAGAGAUUAAAAAAAAUGCUAAAUUAUAGAAAACUCUCAUGUCAAAAUUCGAUUUUUCACUUUUUCCCCCCUGUCAUUUAAAAACUUACAGUUUGCCCCCUUGUGAAAUAAAAAAUAUUCAUUUUACCCCCUACCGUCAGUGAUCCGUUAGGAUUCCGUUAUAAAAUAUUUUUUAUGCCAAAAAUACCCUCCGCCUUCUCUAUUGUGUUUCGCCCUCUUCCGCCUCACCGCCUCGCCCUCCUCCGCCUCACCGCCUCGCCCUCCUCCACUGUCUCGCCCUCGCCCACAUCUCCGUCCGCGCCCACAAACACCCUUCGCCCUCCUCUGCCGCCUCGCCUUCGCCCUCGUUGCCCUUGCCCACCUUUCCAUCCAUGCCCACCUCGAUCGAUUUCCUCUCCACUGUCGCCGAAAUGGAGGGGCGACGAGGGUGCAGGAGGAGAAGGGAAGCAGGUGGAGAAGAAAAUGGAGAGGAACAGCGACUGAUCGAGACGCGAAUCGCGGCUGAUCGAGGCGGCGGAUGAACAAGAUGAGAGAGGAGACGAAAAUGAUGAGGGGCAAAAUAAUCAUUUUAUCAUCACAGUUCACACAGUACCCCCUGUGAAUAUUUUUAUUUUACAAUAAGGCAAAAUAUAAGUUUUUAAAUGACAGAAGAAAAAAGUGAAAAAUAAAAUUUUGACAAGAAAAUUUUAUAUAAUUUAGCCGGAAAAAAAGGGGUAGAAAUAAGAUACUAGUAGGCCCACUGACAUUUGCUAUCAAUAUCACCCAUGUCUUUCUUUAUCUUCCAAUCUCUAUCACCCCCAGAAUUCAAACUCAAUCUAUGCACAUCAGUUUGCCAAGUAAUUCAAAAAACAACCAAAGCCACAAAUUAGAAUUUAAGCAUACUUGGCAAAAUGAGGAGCAUCAAUUACUUCAAGUACUUAAUAUGCAUCUAAUAAAAUGAAGAAUUUCUGUUCUCAACGAUUGUGCCUAGCGUAGUUGGCCAAGACAGAAGUCCAAUUGUUUUACAUUUAUCGUUCUCUUUCAAUAAAAAAAAAAAAAAAAAUCUAAUCUCUCCUCUUGUCUACAUUUAAUUUGAGAAAGCAUCUGCAAAGUCAAUGAGUCGGUUUCGCAACAACAAUUUUAACAGUAAACUAGCAGAAGUUAGCUCCAAGGGUAUAAGAAAGAACUUAGAACUUUAAACGGACAGAUUUCAUUACUUUACGUGAAAAAGAAUUCGGAAACUAAGUCAAUAGUUAUUCUAGCAUGCAUUUUGCCCCAAGAAUUUGAAAACAAGGGCAAAAGAGGAGCACCCCACAGAGAAUAAUAUUCUGUACUUUUUUUAAGGAUUAAUUUCAUAUAGGUCCCUCAAAAUAUAAUGAAUUACAAAUGUAUCCCUAUAAAGUUCAAUUUUUAUAUGUUGAUUUUACAAAAAUCCUAAUUUUUCAAAUAUAUCCUUGUCGUUAUGAUUCGUUAGAAAAAAUUAAUUAACCAUAGGUAAAUUAAGGUUUAAAGUGCCGUGGCACGGGGGCGUGCUGCUAUCUACCUGACACGGUACGGCGCCGGCACGCUUCCAUACCGACCAUGAUACGCUUGUGUGGCGAUGGAUAUAUACGACCUUCUACUGGUACGCUUUGGCAUGGACUUAUUUCAGUUUUUUUAGUUUCAAUAAGCUCUUAUAAUAUUAUUUGAAAAGAUUUAAUCAAAUAAUUAUAAAUAUUUGUUAUAUAUAACUUACUAUACUCAUUAAUUAAUAUAUUUGUAAAUUUUUUUGUAUGUAAAGUAUAAUUAUAUCUGAUACAGAAUAGAAAUUUUUAUAUGUUAAAUUUUUAAAAUGUAAAGACAUUUUUUUUUCUUUUUUUCUUUUAACCAUAUUACAGUUUUUCUUUUAUAAAAUACAAAAAAAAAAAUUUAAAAAUUAUUUUUAAAAAUUAUUUUAAAAAGUAUUUGAAAAAAAUUAUUUUUUUAAUUAAUUUUAAAAAAAUUAGUAGAUCUAUCAAAAAAAUUAAGUAAUAUGGUUUAAGCAUCAAUUGAUUUAAUUUAACUUUUAAUUUUUUCAGUAAUUUUAAUUUUCUAGCGCAAAAAUAAAAUUUUAUAUUUGAUGUGACUCAAAAUUUGUUUAUUGAGUUCGAUUUUGUUCCCUUAAUUCGCCUUAUUUGUGAAGAAAAAAUACAUAUCUGUGGUGAAAGCGGAGGGUUCAGACAAAUUUUUUGUCCGUAUAUUGAUAAACAAAAAAAAAUUAAAUUAUAACUUUUUUAACUUACCUAAUAAGUAAAUUUUAAUUUGCAAUAUCUUUGGGGGACGUAGAGUACCCAGAAUGUUUUGAAUAUCCCAAAGAACAAAAUAAAAAAAAAUAUUAAAAAAAAAGUAAAAAAAAUAUUAGCACAGUGCCGUGCCGGCACUGUGCCGUGGCACGCUGCCUCGUGCCACUCUGUCUCGUGCGGCACAGCGCUGUGUACUGCAACACGGAGGGGGGUCCGUGACCCCUACCCUCCUGUACCGUGCCACCUUCUUGGUGGCACAGAACGCACCGCCCCGUGCCGUACCACACGGUACAACACUUUAAACCUUGGGUAAAAUACUUAAUCCUUGCUAGUUAAUGAGGUGUACCUCUUCACCCCUUUUCAAUUAACAGUUGAGACUUUUGGAAGGUCAUAUUUGUGAUGGCAAAAAAGUCAUUUCACUUAUAAAAUAAACAGUUCUUUAAUGAUAACAAAUAUUUGAAAGUAUUAAGAUUUUUAUAAGGACAACAUAUAAAAAUUAAACUUUGUAAGAAUAUAUUUGUAAUUUAUUAAGUUUACAGAGAUCUGUAUAAAAUUAACUUUUUUUUAAAUAUUGCUCCUCUUUCCAAACCAUAGAAAGUGACUGGUUUGAAUGUUUUGUAGGCAUUUGACUUCAUUAGUAUAUUUGGUAGAUUCAUUGUUAGAAAUUCUCCUUAAAAUGGAUAGAAAAAGCCCCAAGUUACCAUAAAAGAAUAUAUGGUUUACAGCUGAUCCAGCAAUGCUUUUAUUAAUUAAUUAGACUAGCAUGUGGAGAUUGUUGAGCCCAGGAAGUAUGCGAAGAGACUUAUUCUACACAUCACUACUCUCUCUCUCUCUACUUAUACUAGAACAUAUUGUAAUGAAUUUAUUAUGGCAAAAGUGAGAGAUGAGUUUAUUAAAGUCGAAGAUGAAGAACAAAAUCGCACACCAGGUUUAAGUCCACGGAGGGUCACUUAAUUCCUAUAGUAGUAUGAUCAACAUCAAUGAUUCGGUCGAUCAGAUUAUUUGGAUGCAUAAACAUCUCUAUUAUCGAGUUGAGCUCUUGUGCUUUUCAAUAAGCUCAUGAGUUUAACGUAUUUAUAAUUUGUUAAUCUUCGGAUGGCCUCAAAAUCUGUGCAAACUACUAGUAAAUGAGACUUACUGGUACACACCGUUAAUAGCACUGAAUGAAUCUUGAAACGAUCCGGUGGCUGAAAGGUUACAAGCACAAAUGCUUCUGUACUUUCAAAAGCACAUGAGCUCAAUUCUCUUUUAACAAAUUCAUUUUGUUUGCUCGAAAGAGUUGCUUGAUAGAAUGUAUAAAAAAAAGUACACAAGCGUAUAAUACAUUUCUAAGUGUUUUUUUUCCCUCAAAAAUACGAUAAAUUAGUUCAUAGGUUGAACACUUAUUGUGGAAGAUCAAGUUUAACCUCUUAUUUUGUAAUUACAAUAAAAAAAAAAUCUCACAUAUUGCAAUUUUAGUGGAUUAUAGGGGUGGAAACGAGCCGAGCUCGAGCGAGCUUACCUUGGCUCAAAUUCGGCUUGAAAUUAAUUUCGAGCAUAAAUUUAAGCUCAAGCUUGGAUUGAAAUUAAUUCGAGCUGAGCUCGAGCGAGCCUAAUUUCGAGUCGAACGAGCUCGAGCCCUAAACGAGUCGCUUGAAAUUCUCAACAUCAUACGAUCAAUAGUUUAAUUUGUAUAGAAUAUUAUCUAUAAUUUGAUACAAAAAUAUAUCUAAUAGUUUAAAGUACAAAAUAAUUAUAUAAAAUAUAGUAUUAUAAUAUGAAGAAAAAUAAUUUAUGAGUUGAAUACUUAAUCUUUUCAGGCUCACAUGUCUUCUCUUCCGCAUUCAAUUUUCAUAUUAUUCAUUUUUAUUUAUGCAAUCAAAAAUAAAUAAAUUAUAUAAAUAAAUAUUGGAUUAAACUAUCCAAUUAUAUAUAACUAAAAUUAAAAUUUUAUAUAAAUAAUAACUUUUUACUUUAAAAAUAUUCUGUAUAUUUUCUCAAGCAUACAAUUAAUAGAAAGGUAAGCAACGACGGGCAUAUACUGUUUUUUUUUUUAGAGAUAGGUAGCACGCUACCCGCUUCGUUUAUUUCAUUUAGAAAUAAACUUAACUGAAAAUAUGAAUCAACUAGGAUUCGAACUUGGGUCUCAGGUACCAACCAUCAAGCCCUUUGCCACUUGCUCUACGGCGAGCAUAUACUAUUAUUUGGUAACUUGAAGGGCUUCCAGCUUGGCUACUUAGGGUGAGAGACAGGAAAAAAGAAAGAGAAAAACAUAUUGAAAUUUUAGAACUCUGUGAAAGAAAGAAAGAAAAUAAAAAUGUAUAAAUUUAAUGAAAUUUUGCUCUUUUAUUUGUCGAUUGGAUUUGUUUUUAUGGGCCAACAACAUUGGUUCAAUUUUAACUAAACUCAGGUUAACCACCCACUCAAUCUUAGAGGACCAUUAUCAUUCUAAUUGCGCAUCUUUUCAUCCAACGGCCAAAAACUCAAUAGUACCAAGGACUUGAUACUAUUGAUAGUAUAGCAGCAUAAUUCUAUAUAUAUAUAAAAUAUAUAUAUUAUAUAUAUAUAUAAUAUUAUAUAUAAUAUAAUAUAUAUAUAGCGAGAGAGAGAGAAAGGAGAAGAUGGAUGAGAAGAGAGAGAGAGAAGUGGUGAUCUACUAUGUACGAAGCACGCGAGUGGCUACCUGUUCCACCUGUUUUUCGAAUGUUUGCGUACUUUCACAUCGAUCGAUCUGCCUCCUGUUAAACUUGAUCUAGAGUAUUUGAAGUACCCUUAGAAAAUAAAUUUUAUAUUUUACGAUAUAUUUUGCCUACUUGAAUCGAACGGGACUCAAAAUAACGGCUGAGGAAAUAAAAAUAGACCCAAAUAUAAUAAUAUGACAUAAAUUUUAAAUCAAAGAUAUGUUGAUCUUUUUUUAUUAUAUAAAAAUUUCUAUCAAAUUUCACGUGAUUGGAUUAUUUAUACACCGUUUAAACUUGCAAACGGCUCACUUACGGCCAUUGAAUUUUGUUGAUUUGUGAGCACUUCAUCAUAAGUACAUGAUAUCGAAAAAAUAUAAAAUUAAUUUUUACGUUACGUCUAACAUAUCUAGAGUCAAUUUAAACGGAAGCUCGCGACGAUUUGAAAGUCGCCAACAUUUGAAACGAGAUGGAAGCACGGAAGACUCCGUGCUUCCGAUAGAUAUGUGCCCACUCUAUUAUAUAUAUAUAUAUAAUAUAUAUAUAUAUAUAUAUAGUGUAGAACUACUAUUCUAUAUAUGUAGAACUAUUAUGCUAUCGAAAAUAUAGAGGAUUUGAUGUUUCCGAAUUUUUGACUCUUUGAUUAAAAAUUGUAUGGUUGGGAUGAUUGCGGUCCCCCCUAAGAUUAAAUAAUACCCCUAUGAUUGAGUGGUCCCUGCAAGGUAAUAAUAGUAUUAAUCCAAAGAUAAGAAAUGAUUAAAGGGGUUGAUCUAAGAAUCAAAAAAUCGAAAGCACCAAAUCCUCUAUACUUUCGAUAACAUAGUAGCUCUACUAUAUAUAUAUAUAUAUAUAUAGAAUUAGGCUGGAAUACUAUUAAUAGUAAAACGCUCUUUUUGCUAUCAAGUUUUUAACCCAUUGGAUGAAAAAUUGUAGGAUCAGGAUGAUAUUAGUCGGUUAGAGUUGAGUGGUCCCCCUAGGGUUGAGUGGUCCCCACUGGGUUAUAGUAUUUAAUCCAAUGGUUAGAAAUAAUGAAAAGAGCUGAUCCAAAGGCUAAAAAACUGAUAGCAACAAUGGUAUAUUCGAGCAUUUCGAGCUUUUCGAGCCUAAUUCGAACGAGCCGAGUAAUACUCAAGCUUGGCUUGAAAUGAAUUUCAAGUCUUUUUUUUUUGUUCAAGCUCGACUUAUUUAAUUUCGAGUCGAGCUCGAGCGAGCCAAAUAUCGAGUCGAAUGCGAGUCGAACGCGAACCGGCUUGCUCAUUUGCCAGCCCUAGUGGAUUACCUGUUCCGAUAACCAAACAGGCCCUGAGAUGAAUAUAGACUAACAAAUUAUAAGGCCUGUAUAUAUGCAUGUAGAAAUUAUUAAAGCAUGUAAUAACUAAGCUAUAUAAUAACUUUGAUUACAUGACUUAUUAGAGCAACAUUUUAUAAUUGUCUAUAACUGAUUUAAUAUUUGAAUAAUUGUCUUAUAUUACUAGAAUUUUUCUUUCCUUUGAGCCGUAUAGUCUGUAAUAUUUAAAAAGGCUUAAUCUUCUAUUGAAUAUGAUCAAGCCUUAAGCAUACAUGCUUUAAGAGUCCGGCUAUUACACUCUUAUAAGUACAAUCACUUUCAUACUUACAAAUCGUUUUUUAUAAUAUAGCUUCCAAAUCGACGGUCCAUACCGUUAAUCAUUAUCUAGAUCAUUCGAAACUUCUAGAAAUCAAAUUUUAUAAUUUUUUAACAUCAUUUACCUUACGAUCAGAAGAUCUUAAAAUUAAUAAUUUUUAACAAUCGGUAUAGAAUACUUGCUAGUUUAACGGUGUAAAAAAAAACGAAAUCAAUUGAAUUUUUGAUAGAAAAUUCUAUUAACUAUCUAGAUAAAGAUCAAUAACUCCGAUCUUAAAUUGAAGUAUAUAAUCCUUUAUUUUUAGAAAGUCGUUUAAUUUUGAUUGUUCAUUUUAUGCCCGCUUGAUGAACUUUACUAUAAUUUUAAAAAAAUUAUGAAAUUUAUUUUCUAUAAAUUUUAAACGCACUAGAUUAUAUUUAACGGUAUGGAUCAUCAAUUCGAAAACUCUUUUAUUAAAAAUAACUUAUCGUACGAAGGGCUUUAUACUCAUAAGAGUAUAAUAGUCCUACUCCAAACUUUAAUUUCACGACAUUAGAGCCUACUAAAUAAUACAAAACAACUGUUAUUCUCUAAAAUAUAUUUAAUAUUUAACACCCCCCACACUCGGGAUCGAGACUUUUUGACGAGCCAAUAACGUGGACUUGAAUUAAAUAGGAGGAAAUAAAUUAUAUUAGGAGUUAGAUGUGACUCGAACUCAGAAUCUCUUGCUGUGAUAUCAUAUUAAAUAAUACGAAAUAACCGUUAUCCUUAAAAAAUUUAAACUAGUAAAGAACGUAUUUUUAUAUUUUUAUAUUUUUAUAUUUAACGGAGCCGAAGCAGCCAAAAAAUUCUAUUCAAGUUGUAAACUAAACUUAGUAAUUAGAGACACGUCAGCCUCCUAGGUUAAGGUAUACAAUCAUGUCAUAUAAUUCUUUAAAAUUAUAUAGAACGAUAUUUUCAUCCUUUUCACCGAUUUAAUAAUUAAAUAAAUAGUUGUCUUAUAUUAUUAGAAUUUUUUUUUCUUUUUAAUCAUGUAGUUAUAAUAAUACAUUUCGAUGAAAAAAGAAGAUACCAUCCAAAUGCGCUGUAAGUGGUGGUAGUCGUGAACAUCUAACUCCAUACUAGACCAAUAAAUAAAUGCAUUAUGGGUAGUUGUAAAAAAUUAGUUCAAACUUGAAUACUAUAAAACUUGAACACCCAAAAUGUGGCCACUUGAUCUAAAUUAGUCAUUGCUUUUUCUUCACCAUUAUUACCAGUAAUAUUUAUAUAAAUAGGUAUUAAAUGCUCUUAUCUGAUAGCAAGCGUGCAAAAGAAAGUAAAAUUUGGUAGGUCGGCAUUUACUUUAAAAUUAAUUUCAUACAUAUUCCUAUCAACAUAAUAAAUUACAAAUAUGUCUCUACAAAGUUCAACUUUUAUAUAUUGUUCCUGUACAAAUCUUAAUGUUUUCAAAUAUAUCCCUCUGAUUUGUUGACGUUAAAGCACUGUUUACUUUAUAAGUAAAAUAAUAUUUUUACCAUCACAAACAUAUCCCUACAAAAUUUACAACUGUUAAUUAAAAAAGAAUAAAAAAGUCAAUUCACCUUAUUAACUAACUACGGUUAACUAAAUUUUUCUAACGGAUUAUAACAGCAGGGAUAUAAUUGAAAGCAUCAGAACUUUUACGGGGGCAACAUAUGAAAGUUUGAAUUUUGAUAGGAAUAUAUUUGUAAUUAACUAUAUUUGCAGGAACCUAUAUGCAAUUAACCCUUUACUUUAUCCUAACCUUGCUUGCAAUACUUGUGCAAGCAAUCUAUAAAUUGUAUGGAAGUGUGCAAGCAACCUAUAAAUUGUAUGGCGUCCAGUUUAUGAAAACUAAUCCACUUACAGUUGUUAUUAUUUAGUUGAAGAAUCUCUCACCUCCAGAUCAUUCUUAAAUAGAAUACUUAGAAUUUAUUCUUCUGGAUUGACACUACUCAACUAUCGACGCAAUUAAGUAAUUUUUAUCGACUAAAUUGAGAAUUUUGUUAAAUUUACGAGAAAUUUUAUCAAACUUUUGAUCUGGUUUGAUAAUGUAGUGGCUAAUGCACUCUACCUUUAUAAUCGGAAAGACUUUAGGGUGCGUUUGGUUCGCACUAUGAAAAAUUACUAGGAGCAAAAAGAUAUCCGAGAAUCUUAUUCCUAUUUAUCCUAUUACUAAGAAUGUAGUAUUUCGAUAUUUGGUUCGUACGGUCAUAUUAUUUAGUCAUGUUAUUUAAAAUUACCAAAAAUAUACAAUUUAUUUAUUUAUUUAAUUUUAAAUAAUACUAUAAAAAAUUUUAAUAUUUUUUUAGAAAAAAGAGAAAGAGAAUAUAGGUUAGAAAGAGAGAGCAUAAUUAAAGAAAUAGAAAGAAAAAUAGAGUCGAGAUUAGAGAGAAUAAGAGAGUUGAAAUUUUAGAAAAAGAGGGAAAGAAAUAACAAUUUAGAAAGAGAAAAAGAGUUGAAGUUUAGAAAGAAAAAGAUAAGUUUAGAGAGAAAUAUGAGAUUAUACUGUAAAGAAAAAUAAUAUCAACUAACCGGCAGGCCGGAAGAAAAAAAAAGAUUAGACAUAUUAUAAUUACUCCAAUCUAUUAAUACAAGGAUAUUCACCCUUCCUCAAAGAAAUGAGAUUAGUACUUUGAGAUGCAUCUCAUUCCCAAAUAAAUCCAGUAUUACCAUCUAGAUUACUUAGUGCGUUUAGCCAAACACCGUCAUAUGUUUUUAUUCUUAUUGGAUUACUAGAAAUCUUAAAAAUAUAGCGCGAACAAAACGUACCCUUAAUAUUAUAAAACUGCGGUGGCAACUAGAGAAGCAUAUAACAACAUGCUUCUCCAAUAAUAAUUUUACAGCACAAAUAGAGAAUAGAUUUAAAGAACUUCACAAUUUUUUGAACCAUCCAUAUAAAAAAUGGGUGCUUUUAGCCACCAAAUUACCAAUAACUUCAAACACUUCUUAACAAGUAAAACUAGAACAGCUAACAACUAAUAACUAUAAAAUUAUUAUAAAAUUAAAAAAAAUAACUUAACUAACUAGAAAAUGCUGAAAUUAAAAAAAUAAUAAUAAAAGUUAAGAGGGAUGUCAAUAAAAAAAAGAAAAAAAAAAAUUUUAAAAAUGCAGAGGAAUUUUAAAAAUGGCUCAAUUUAGACAAGCAAAAGCAUCAUUUUUUUAAGAGAAAUAGAUAGCAACUACUCGCUUCGUUUAUUUCAUUUAGAAAUAAACUUAGCUGAAUAUGUGAAUCAACUAGGAUUCGAAUUUGGGUCUCGGAUACCAACCACCAAUCAGAAGCAUCAUUACAAUUCAUGUCAUACGUUUCCUAUGACUUUUUCAUGACAAAUAAAUGUACCAUGCACUAGCCAUCAGCAUUUACUAUAAACUUCAAGAAGCUUUACUAGUGAAAAUUUUGUGCAAGUAGAUCAAAUAUUUUCUUCUCUUAAUAAUGGUAUUAUAUAGCAAGCUUUUAGACCCUUUCAAAAUCAUCUUAAUCACAUGUUCCAUCUCUAUAUAAACAUGGGCAUCUGACCCUACAAAAUUGAAUCAAUUCAUAACAAGUCUUUUCCAUCUAAAUGUGCAGAAUCAUGUUGAAAACAUGCAUAAAAAAAAUAACAAAACAAGUGUUGAAACAUACAUUUAGUCGUCAGUAUAGUUAAAUCUUAAAAAUAAUUCGUACACGAUCAAAAAGGUCAGCAAUAAACACCAGAUGGGCCUCUGUGCAAUACCGACAAAUAGCAGAACUUUUGAGUGACAUAUAUAUAUCCUCUAUUCCCUUCACGGAUGCAAACAAACAUCUUUAUAUCACAAUAUUGAGGCACAGUUCUCAUCAAAUUAGGUUAUCGAGAGAAUUUGACUGUGUAAGAUAUGUUCUUUGCAAAAUCUCCUUUCUCUAAAUGUUUUGAUGUAUGCAUCAACGAAUCAUCCUGAUAUAAAUUCAUUUUCAAGAAUGAUCUUACCACUGUUCAACAACCAACAAAAGCACAAAAUGCACAGCUGCGUAGUAUAAUCCCGCAAAAAUGCAGCAAGAAAAUCUUGAAGAAAUUAUGACGAGAAAAAAAGCAAAAAAGCAAACAGUAAAUAGUAGUCACGACAAGAAUAGAAAGCCAACAUAUAAAUCUGACCCACAUAUCCCUCAGAAUGCCUGGUAUCAACAACAAGUCAUAAAAUCCCGGUUCCUCAACCUCACCAACAUACUUGAUGAGAGAGCACCAGUUAUCCAUGAUUCUAAUGGCUGUUCAGAUUACUAAACUUUUCAUCACAGGGAUACUGGAUCAUGUCAAAAAAUAAAAAAAAUAAUAAAAAUAAUAAAAAAGGAGAAUAAACUCAAUCUCUCGAUCCACGAACUCUAGAAAAGUACAUCAAUCUUUCAUAUCCUAUACAAAUUCACAUGUCAUAGAAGUUCUAUUUGUGUAACUCUAUUCGGACAGCAACCUUCUAAUUACUGUUCCAAUCUGUUCCUUUUUAAAGUUUCAGCUUGGUAUCAGAUGCAUAUUUGCAAAACUGAGGUGACGAACAAUAUGAUUGAAUGAUUGAAUUAUCAGUAAUUUAAUCGUUAACUAAGCCAUCCUAUGAGUAUAAAAUGGAAACAAGAAAAUAUGAUCAAACAUAAGGAAUACAAACAAUAUAGACCAUCAUCGCCUAUCUUUCAUCAUCGGAACCAGCCAACCAGUAUAUUAUCUUCUUAUCCAACUCUAAUAACAGUGAGAAGUUUAGGAGAGUUGCCAGGAUACUUGUUAUCCAACUCGAAUUACGGCAAGAGGUUUAUGAGGGUUGGAUUCGGUGCUAUCAUGGAGUAACUACAAUGAGGGUGCAAGCAGUUUUGACCUCUCUUGCAUACGAGUUGGCUGUCUUCCAAUUUCUCGUCGAGGAAUACAUUUACAUAUGCAUGGUGAAGAGAAAUCGUCAAAGGGAUUAACGUACUAGUUUAUCCCAUUGUUAUGUGACUUGCCAAUAUGGCUAGUUUUGCAAAAUAUAAUGUAGAAUGCAUCCGCUCCUGAUCACUGCCAUGCUAAAACUGAUUGUAACCUUCUAAUUGAAGAAUGUACAUUCUACCACUGUAGACCAGCUAUUGGGAGUUUUCAAAUUCGAAAGUUAAUACUUGUAUUGACACACAAAAGCAGGUCCAGCAAAUUUAUACAAUCCUCAAAGCUAAUUAAAGAUAAAAUAUGACUAUGUUACACUGUAGUUGCCAGUCCCUUUACUCCAAGGCCUAGUUUGGUAUUGCAUUUCCAAAAGCUCCCACAUUCAUGCUUUGGAAGGUCCAAAAACUCCAAACGCGUUUUCAAUCUUCCCUUCUCGAAGUGCUUUCAAUCUUCCCUCCUCUUAUAUUAUAAAACUGUCGUGGCAACCAUCUUAAAAGAAGCAUGUAACCACAAGUUUCUCCAAUGGCAGCUAUCACCACAAUUUUAUAGCAUAGAAGGGAAAAAGGGAAGAGUUUUUACUCUUUUCUUUUCGUUUGGUGUGUGUGUGUUUUUUUUUUGUGGGGGGGUGUUGGGUUUGUUGGUGGUGGGGGUGAGGGGAGGAUGGGGUUGUCUAAAGCCUGAUCGCAGGUGCUUUUAGCCCCCACAAUACCAAAGAGGCCUAUGACUAAGUAUAGACUACAAUCUAACAUAAACCAUAAACCAAUGAAUGUAAUGAGAGAAUAAAAAAAGUAUUUGUUUCUCAUAAAAACCCUUUGUUGUAACUAUCUGGCAAACUACACAUCCCAUUUCAGUUUUCUCUUUUUUAAUUUCCUUUCUAGAAUGGACAAUUCUGCUUCUUUUUCCUGUUUUUUUUUUCAAUUUAUUCUCUACGACUGUUUAUUAUGGACGGCUGAAUGGCCGCACAUUUAGAAUGGAUCCUUUUCACUACAUAUUCCAUGGCUACAAACCCAAAGGUCAAUAUACUACAUAUUCCAUGGCUACAAACCCAAAGGUCAAUAUAGCUACCAGUUGUUGGCACUAAUUUACUGCCUUUGAUAUACAAUGUACAAUUUAACUUGGAGUUCACGGGAGCCUUCUGACUAUACUGGAGUUGCAUUCAGUGCAAUAAACAGAGACAACUAAGAUAAGUUAUAGACAGGAAAGAAAUUACAAGAUGAUGAAACUCAAGUGAAAAGAAAACUAAACAUCGCAGAGAGGUUUCAAAAUAUAGCGUAGUUAUAAAUAAUAGCGAACGAAAUAAAAAAACAACACCAAAUCCAAGCAAGUAACAAUAGAAUGAAAGCAACAAAUGCUACAAACUAGUACUUCUGAAAUACGAUUUAAUACAAACUGCAUUAGAGUUCUGGACUACAGGUAUCACAUAAGAGACUAAGCAAAAUAAAGAGGUAACGAAAGAAAAGAAAUCUAAGCCUAUCCGUUCUAUAGCACAUCUUAACACAGGUCCAAUUAGUCGGAAGAAAGUGGUUACUACUCUAAGCUACAUAAAUUGAAAAAAAUAUACUAGGAGCACAUACAUGACAUUAUUAAUUUAGAAGCACGGCAAACUAGGUAGCUGAUGAUGAUGAUACAGAUUGAGAUAUCGUGAAAUUAUCAUUUCCUGCUAAUUCUUCAAAUAUGUUUUGGACAAGGAAACUCCUCAUCAUCAAGAUAGCUCAAUCUAAUUUCACUGAUGAGAAGAGGUAGUGAACAAACCAGAAAGAAGAAAGGAAUCCGACUGUGCCAGUGGCAAGCAUGACAGCAAUGACCAUGAAGAGCGAGUAGCCUAAGUAGAGGGUCGCUGAAAUAGGCCCGCUUAAGCUCUUGAGAUCAAAAACAAGAUAGUUGACCGAGUACAAGAAGAUGUAGAUUGCUACCGAGCCCGAUGCAAAGAAUGACUUCCACCACCAUUUCCAAUCCUCCACGCAAAGAUGCAUGUAAGUGAGAACUAAAGAGACCUCCGCACAUACAACAACAAGAAGUAUCAACACGACGAAGAGAAAGCCAAAUACAUAAUAUACACGGCCCAUCCAAAUGCUCGACAUUAUGAAGAAUAACUCGAUGAAAAGGGUGCCAAAGGGUAGCGUUCCUGCUCCAAGCACUAACAACCAAGAUGGGUACUUUUGAGGAGGGAUUUCGCGCGGAAUUUGGUUCGUCCGAACGGGGAAUUCAAUGUGCGGAGCCUUUGCCCCAAGAGAUCCACCGAGAAGAGUGAGAGGGACCGAAAUGCAGAACCAAAGCAAAAGCAGGAUGACGAACAAAGAGAAGGGAAUCGCGCCGGUGCUGUGGCUACCCCACAAGAGGAAAUUGAGAGUGGUGAGAAUCAGAAAGGCAACGCCGGGGAAGAAGCAAGCGACGCGCCAGGAAACCGACACCCAUCCGGAGUGAUCACCGCCCUUUAUCGUCUUCCAAAGCCUAACAGCAGCAUACCCAGCCGCGAUUCCGAGAACCAGGUAGAAGAAGAGCAUCCCGGUGACGAGAGUUCCCCUCGAGGCGGGCGACAUGAACCCGAGCGCGGCAAACAGAAUGGUCACCACCGCCAUACCCAGAAUCUGAACCCCGUCCCCGACCAUCGCGCAAAGCAGCAGCGGAUGGCUCGGCGCCCUGAACACAUCGCCGACCACCAGCUUCCACCCCGAGAGCUCCUCGUUCAUCUGUUCCUGCGCCUCCUUGUCGAGCUCCUCGUACCGCGCCAGAUCCCUCCGGACGGUCCUCAGCAGGAUCACCAACACGAUCCCCGCGAGGAACGCGAUCACCAUGAGCGAAUUGAGGAUCGAGAACCAGUGAACCUUGGCCCCCUCCAUCUUCAGAUACGCGUCCCACCGCGACGGCCACUUGACGUCGCUCUCGACGAAGGCGACCUCGUAAGUGAACACGAUCGGCUGGUUCUCCCCGACGGCCAUGGCGACCACGGAGGGAUCGCACUCGAUCCUCCCCGGGUACUUAUCGUACAUCCUCAAGCUCUUCACGGACUCCGAAUCGUGCGCGACGCUGCAGGGCACGACCUCGAACCCGACGACCAUCCACCCGGGGGGCUCAUUUUGCGUCUUCUCCUCGUACCUAUGCACCAACACCGUAAACUUCAAAUGAUUGAACACGUAGUAGGCGCCGCCAUCGCGGACAUGAAUUCCGACCGGAUAACCGGUCCACCGGAGGGAGUAGCCGUCGUCGUUCCUGGUGUAGCGGAUCGCGGGGAGGUUGUCGAGGAUGAGAUUGACCUGGUACAGCUCGUCGAUCCGCUCCUUGAGGAGGGCGAGAGCGUCGGGGGCGAGCGGGUCGGAGCGACACAGCAUAACAGCGGAGUCGUUGACGUGCAUGUUGAAGCGGUAGGGGGAGUUCUCGAUGCGGUCGCCGAGGAGGAUCUCGCCGAGGUUCUCGGCGCUGUCUUUGAUGCCGCCGGGGGGGCGGCAGAAGAAGGGCAGAGAGUAGUAGCCGAAGGGCAUCUCGGUGCCGACGGAGGUCAGGGAGUUCACCUUCACGGAGAGGGCGUCGCCGGCGGCGUAGCGGUGCGGGUAGCUGCCGGGGAGGUAGAAGGCGGCGGCGAGCGGGAGGGCGGAGAUGAAGGAGAAGAUGAAGACCGCGGCGAGCGGGAAGUGAAACUUCAUCUUUGAUCCGGCGAGGAAAUGCGGUGUGUAGGGUUUUUGGGGCAGAGGAAGAAGAGAGGGGUCGGAGUGAAUACUUGUCGGUGAUGGAGGGGCAUUUACAACUAGUGCAGUUGCACCCACCGUUCCGGGAGCAUGUGGCAAAGAAUUUGACGGUUGGACUUCAAAAUUUAAAUUUGAAUUCUAAUUGAUUCAUCUUUCUAACUAAAUUUAUUUUUAAAUAAAAUAAAAAAAUUUCAAAAAUCUCUCUUCGUAGUUUUUCACUUUGCCCCCCUGUGAUUUAAAAUGUAUUAAUUUGCCCCCCUGUGGUUUUUCUUUUUUCUCUUUUUCUUAUCAAUUUUAUUAUAUUUUUUUUUAAAUUAGUGAUAAAGUUAAAAUUAAAGAGUACUAAAAUAAAUAUUUGAUAAAUUUAAAUGGGUAUCUGAAGUUUUUUAUAUAUAAUUUAAUGAAAUAUUAACGAAAAAUCUACCGAAAAGAUAAAAACCAAACCACAUGGGGACAAAUUAAGAUAUUUUAAACCACAGAGGGGCAAAGUGAGAAACUACAAAACCACAGGGGGGUUUUUGAAGUUUUUUUUAAAAUAAACGAAACGGAAAGCGUGCUACCUAUCUCUCUCAAAAGAAAAAAAAAAAAAGGAAAACUAAAAAACUAGUGCAGUUGUAAAAUUAGGUAAUUUCAAUUUUUGUCUAUGAAAAUAAUUGAAUAUGAUUUGUGAUUUAUUUAUACUAUAUGUAAUGCCGCGCAAAUACAGAUGAGAUAAAUGCUCGCAAGGAGUCGCACAAGUCGAAAUGCUCGCAAGGAGUGCAGAGUAGUAGGUCUUUUGUAAUCACUUCCCACCGAACCGGAGUCCAACCAGAAUAUUUGGUUCGGUUCAAGUUUGAUCGGUAGAAACUCGUACACUAAACUAGCUGCAUUUUUUUUUGUAAUAAGCAUUAGGCUUAAUUACAGAAGAGUUCUCUCAUAUAAAUGCCCAUUUUCACUUUUUUUUCUAUAAAAAAAUAAAUUUUAAUUUAUUUCUGUCAUUUUGAAGGUCAUUUUCGGUAUAAUAUAAGAAAUAAACGGAAUAAUAAUGUAACCCUGAUGUAAGGGAGGCUAAAACCAACAACUUGAAAUAUUGAUGAGAUAAGAAAAAGUAAAAAACGGAUAUUUAUAGAGAAAUUUUCUGUAAUUUAGCCUAAGAAUUAUGCUAAAAUAAAAUUCAUAAAAAAAUUUUUGCAAAUGCUUUUAUUUUUAUUUUUCACUCUGACUUUUAAAACCUUUAUAUUUUAUCUUCUUAAAAUUUUAAAAUUAUAUUCAAAAGAUUAUAGUAUUAAUGGAAAGGGCAAAAUGAUCAAAUUAUCUUUACUUGUUUUAUAAAAAAAAAAUAUUUUUUAAUAUUUUUAUAGAUACUUUUUAUGUAAAUUAUAAGAAAUAGGUGGAAUGGUGAUGAUUAAAUAUAUCAACUUAAAAUUUUGAGAAGAUAAAUUUUUGAAAGUUAUGAAAAAAAAAAAAAAAAAAACAGAUAUUCACAAACGAAUUUCUGUAUUUUAGCCUAAAAGUUAAGUUAGAAUAGUCUUCAAAGAUAAAUAAUUAUUUUACUAAGAGACACUUUCAAAUACUAAGUUUUUGAAUUGAAGAUAUGUACAGUUAAAUACAUUAUAAAAAAAAUUAUUAUCUAAAUCACUUUAGCUUAAAAAUCCUAACCACUAUUUGCACAACGAUGGUGUACUUAAUUAUUUUUGGCCAAUUUGCAUAAAAAAUCUACUUAUUUUGGGCUUUUGCAAAACCGGGUCAUCUUUUUCGUUUUUGCAGAUUCAGUCCGCUUUUUCAGCAAACUGGGCGGAAACGGUCCGUCUCGCUUCUCGCCCUCGCCUUUGCCCUUGCCCUCGUCCACGCACCCCCCACCUUCUUCGCCUCCAAUCCCGCCAAGACCGCGCCGCGACUUUUUUUUUUUUUUACUUUUUUCUUUUCUUUUCUUCUCCGACUCUUCUCCACCGUCUCCGACGACGACGCCUCUCUCGUCUUUCCCCGCCCUUCUCAUCUCUCCCUCUCCUUCAUUCUCUGCCGCCUCCGACGACGAUGCAUCUUCGCCGGCGCCGACGUCGACACUGUGGAGGUCACUACGGCGCUACAGGCUCGGAGCGGGGGUCCUUAGCGGCGUUGUCGCCGGCACCGUGGCUGUUGGCAGAGAGGGUGACAAAAAAAAAUUAUAAAAAAAACAGAAAAAAAAAUAAAGAUAAAAAAUCAUAUAAAAAGAAGGAUGAACAUGAAAUUGCAUCGUUAACUGCAAAAAAAAUUAUAAGUUGCACUACUUAAGAUGUAAACUGCAGCUUUAAGAUGAAAACUACACUCUUUAAACGAAAAUUACACUCUUUGAGAGAUAUUUACACUGUUUCUCUUCUUAUUACACUCUUUCAGAUGUAAACUGUAUUCAUUAAAAUGGAAGUUACACUCUUUAAAAAAAAGUUGCACUGUUUCUCGUCUUGUUGCACCAUUUUUCCUCUUGUUACACUAUUUUUUUAUCUUAAACUGCACCCUUUUAAAAGAUAUUUAUACUGUUUCUCCUCUUGUUGCACUGUUUCUCAUCUUGUUGCACCAUUUCUGUGUAAACAAGAGAAGAAAUAGUGCAACAAGAGGAGAAACUACACUGUUUUAAGAGAUAAAUAUACUGUUUCUCCUCUUGUUGCACCAUUUCUGUAUAAAUAGGAAGAGAAAUAGUGCAACAAGAGAAGAAACUACACUGUUUUAAGAGAUAUAUCUACUGUUUCUUCUUUUGUUGCACUGUUUCUCCACUUGUUGCACCAUUUCUGUGUAAACAAUAGGAGAAAUAGUGCAACAAGAGGAGAAACAAUGCAAUAAGAGGAGAAACUGCACCCUUUUAAGAGAUAUUUAUAUUAUUUCUACUCUUGUUGCACUGUUUCUCCUCUUGUUGCACCAUUUCUAUGUAAACAAUAGGAUAAAUAGUGCAACAAGAGGAGGAACAGUGCAAUAAGAGGAGAAACAGUAUAAAUAUCACUUAAAAGGAUGCAGUUUAAGAUAAAAAAUAGUAUAAUUUUCGUUCAAAGAGUAUAAUUUUUAUCUUAAAGCAGCAGUUUCCAUCUUAAAUAGUACAACUUAUAAUUUUUUUUGUAAUUAACGAUACAAUUUCAUCUUCAUCCUUCUUUUUAUAUAAUUUUUUAUCUUUAUUUUUUUUUCUGUUUUUCUAUAAUUUUUUUUGUCACCUUCUCUGCCAACAGCUACGGCGCCGGUGACGACGCCGCUAAGGACCCCCCCUCUCCGAGGCUGUAACGCCGCAGUGACCUCUACGGUGUCGACGUCGGCGCCGGCGAAGAUAAAUUGUCGUCGGAUAUGGCAGAAAAGAAGGGAGAGGGAGAGAUGAGAAGGGCGGGGAAGGGCGAGAGGCGUCGUCGUCGGAGACGGUGGAGAAGAGUCGGAGAAGAAAAGAAAAGAAAAAAGCAAAAAAAAAAAAGUCGCGGCGCGGCCUGGGCGGGGUCGGAAGCGAGGAAGGUGGGGGGUGCAUGGACGAGGGCAAGGGCGAGGGCGAGAGCAUGAGGGUGAGAGGCGAGACGGAUCGUUUCUGCCUCCGCUCUGCCGGCGAGAAAAAAAAAAAGAACAAGAGAAACGAAGAAGAGAGAGAAACAGGAAAGAGAAAAAGUAAUAAGGGUAUUUUGGUUAGUUUGCUGAAAAAGCGGACCGAAUCUGCAAAAACGAAAAAGGUGGUCCGGUUUUACAAAAGUCCAAAAUAAGUAGAUUUUUUAUGCAAAUUGGCCAUUAUUUUUCCUUCAAUCAAUUGUCUUAUUUUGGUACAGUUUUUAUCCACAAAUUGUACAAAUGGUACCAAACCGAAUCGUCAACACACCCACAAAUUCCUAUGGCUUGGUCUAAAAAUGGUUUUUUAUAUUCUUUUACGUAACCCUGUAUAUCAUUUUCAUAUCCACGUAGUCAUUUAUUGUGAAUUAAGCAACAUUUAUAUAGCAUACGUUUUGUUGGGUUUCAUUAAAAAAAAAAAAAAAGAAAAAGAAAAUACGAAUGGCAUUGUUCCAACUAUUGUUUUGUUUUUAUUUUUUAAUGGAAAAACUUCAAAAAACCCCCUUGUGGUUUCACUUUUUUUCACUUUAGUACCCUGUGGUUUAAAAUGUAUCAAGUUAGUACCCUGUGGUUUAUCACUUUAUCACUUUAGUACCCUAUGAUUUAAAGUGUAUCAAGUUAGUACCUUGUGGUUUUGCACUUUAUUACUUCAGUACCCUGUGGUUUCGCACUUUAUCACUUUAGCAUCCUGUGGGUUUAAAAAUCACAUGGUACUAACUUGAUACAAAAUUAAAACCACAGGGUACUGAAGUGAUAAAGUGCAAAACCACAGGGUACUAACUUGAUAUACUUUAAACCACAUGGUACUAACUUGAUACACUUUAAAUCACAGGGUACUAAAGUGAUAAAGUGAUAAACCACAGGGUACUAACUUGAUAUACUUUAAACCACAGAGUACUAAAGUGAUAAAGUAUGAAACCACAGAGGGGAUUUUUGAAGUUUUCCCUUUUUUAAAACGUUUUUUUUUUGCUUUUUAGGUGAUGCAAUUUAGGUGCACGAAUACCCUUUGACAUCGAGAACUAUUGUUUGCAAAAGAUUGGAUCUUUGGUCCUUAAAUUAUGACAUGGGUGACAUUUUUGUCCUUAAAUAUUAAUUUAUUUUAUUUUUUGAAUCGAAUUUUAAGAAUUAUUAUAAUUUUAUAAUUUAAUUUAGUUGAUUAAAUAUUGACUCUGUACUAAUAUAAAAAUAAUAUGAUAUUUUAAUUAUUGACAUAUUAUUACUAAUCACAAUGCUAUUAUAUUACUUUCACAUUAAUAAUGCACCAAUAUUAUCUCUAAAAAAAUAAUAAUAAUAAUACACCAAUAUUUAGUCAACUAAAUUAAGAUACAGAACUUAAUUAUAAUAAUAUUUAAAGUAGUAGCUAGAAAUUAACUAUAAUAAACUAAAAUUUAAGGAUUGAAGUGUCAUCACCGUCAUAGUUGCUAGUUGAGGACCACGCAGUCAAUGUACCAGUACUGGAAUAAGAAAAGUUUCUUUGAGUGGUUAAAUUUAAAUUUUGAAAUACUAGUUACAAUUAAAAGUUAUGCUUUGAUUUUAUAUAUAUAGAGAGAGAAGAGAGAAAUGAUUCGGUACCUUACUUUAUAAAAAAUAAAAAAAAAUCUUAACCCUUGAUUAAUGAAGGUUAAAAAUAUCAUUUUAUUAUGUAGUAGGUUAAAAGUUUAUUUUAUGUGAGGGUAUUUUUAUAAUUAAACUAAGCAAAAUUUUAAAAAAGUUUUGAAUAAUAUCCCAAAUUUAGCAUAAAUUUUACAACUAAUUUAAGCAUUAAUUUAAAACAUGAUUGAUAUCCCAAAUUUUAGCAUUAAUUUUAGAAAUUUUAGAAUUCUUCUAAUAUAGGCAUUAAUUUAAAUUUUAGGAAUUUUAGAAAUAGCAGUAAAUAUGUUGAAUUUAAAUAUUUAAUAUUUAAAUUUAAAAUUAAAUAAGAGAAAUUUUGUAUUACUAUUUUAACAAAUUUAAUGUUGAUAAUAAUGAAUUCAACAUAUUUAAUUUGUUUAAGAAAAUUUUAAAUUACUCUAGUUUAGAUAUUAAUUUUUUAUCACAAUCUUUAAAAAAAUUUGAAUGUAGGUAAAAAAAAUUAAAAUUCAACGUAUUUAAUAUAUUGUAAUAUUUUUUAAUAAAAUAUUUGCGGAUUACGGAUAUGAAAUGAUAAAAUAUCUUUGGGUUAUGGAUGUCAAUAGUUACGAAUAUCCAUAAUUUUAUCUGAAUCCGAAUCCAAAGCCGAAAGCAAACGUAGUAGAUUUACCUAUGCUUAAUGGAUAUAGUUUUGGAUGUGGAUAUAAAAAAUGAAAAUCCGAUGAAUUUAAAUUCGGAUGCGGAUUUUGAUUAUAUCUGAUCCGAACCUAAAACCGACCGAAACCAAAAUUUAUUUUACAUUAUAUAUAAUAUAUAUAAAUGUUUGAUGUUAUAGCUGAAUAUGUAUUUUUAAAAUUUAGAUUUAAUUUAAUAUAUUUUAAAAUAUUGUAAAGAAAAAUAAAUGUUUCGAGUUCGGAUUUUCAGGUUCGGAUUAGGGUCGGGUUUUGGAUUUUUAGUCAGGUACGGGUAUAAAUAUGAUUUUCUAAAAUUCGUCGGAUUUGGGUUCAGGUUCGGGUUUCAGCCGAUUUGAUAGUCGAGUUUGUGUUUGGGUUCGAAUUUUUAAAAAUUUGCUCAGAAUCCUACCCUUUUAUAUCUGUACUGUAGAUGAAGAGGAAAGAUAGAGAGAGAAAAAGAAAACAAAAAGAGAAUAAAGAUUUGAUUUUUUUAUAGUGGAGAUAAAAUUACUAAAUUAUCCAUAUAUUAAAAGACCAAAAUAUCUUUUUUGGGGUAUCUGGUAAUCGGUAUCUCUCUCAAAGUGACUUGUUAUUGCGGGUCAUAAUUUUAAAAAAAAUUAAAUCCGAACUGUAGAAUAGAAAUGACUGAAUAAUAUCAAAAACUAACAAAUAUAGAAACAUUACUCAUAUAUAUAUAUAUAUNAGUCCGGCUACUAUACUCUUAGGAGUACGAUCGACUUCGUACCCAUAAGUUGUUUUCGAUGAUAGAGCUUCCGAAUCGACGAUCCAUACCGUUAAACAUUAUCUAGAGCAUUUAAAAUUUCUAGAAAUCAAAUUUUAUAAUUUUUUAAUAUCAUUUACCUUACGAUUAAAAGCUCACAAAAUUGACAAUUUUUAAUGGCCGGUAUGAGAUAUUUACUAGUUUAACGGUGAAAUAGAAUCGGCUGUAGUAUCCUUGGUAUUCUGCAGCCGUGAGAUUUCAGCAUCUGAGACUUGUCGACACAUCUGAAGAGUGUCAGGACAAGUCCGAGUCGUUUUGGCGUGAUAUAGACGCAAAACAGACUCAGUAUGACGCGAGAGCAGGAAUUUAGCACUAAAAUCUGCAAAUUGCAGGUUGUCAGCAUUGAAUACUGGUACUACACAUGGGAGUACCGGUAUCCCAGUCUAAUUUUUUGAUUUAUGCUCUCGGGUUGCGAAGGCUGAUGCGGGGUACGGGUACGGCAUCGGCCUGGUACCAGUAUUCCAGGGUAGGUGAGGAGCCUUUUGGUCUUUUGAUGCCUCGAUCAUUUCACCCUUAUCUCCCGCCGCCUAUAUAGUAUAGAGGAUUUGAGAGAGAGCUUUUGUUUACUCUUCCCUCUCUCUCUCUAGAUUGAAGCCGUGCGCUUGGUGGUGGUCGCGGUUGGAGCUCGGAUCGACGUCGACUUCACGCCGGGGAACCGUUUGAGCACGUGAGCGUCGUAGUUGCAUCGUUGGGAGGCCGAGUGAGCGCGUGGUUCCUCUUCUGUCGACUUUUUGCCGGAGUUGAAUUAGCAUUCGAGGUGGGUUGAAGUUUACCGAAUUCUUCGAAUUUCCUCCUAAGCCUAGUUUGUUGUCAGCAUGUAUUUUUGGCUUCGUAUAUUAUGUUUAGUAGCUCGAUUCGUCGAUUUGCAUUGUUCUUCAAUGAAAUCUGAAUUAGAGAUUUAGUUUAUUAUACAUAUUGGACUUGGAAUUGACUUAGGAGAAAACUAUAGGUUCUACACUGUCAUUUUCUUAAAACUAUCAGAUUUAGCUUUAGGAGCCGCAGUUUGUUUGUAUCGGCGCAGUUUGUAGGCGGUAGAUACCGAGAAUAGUGUAGAAUGAAUUUACGCUCGUGCUGGAAUACCGAGUUUAUUUUUACAGUAGUGUAUAGACUGUUCCGGACUGUCGAGUGCCGUCGCGGCUGACAGUGGACCCAGAUUUCUGUAUUUUGCAUAAAAUUGUGCCGAGGGCACGUGAGUUAUGGUUGUUAGACUAGUUAGACACUUCUGCUUUGACUAUAGUCUGUGAGAGCCUGAUUGAGCUCGGUAGAGAUACGCUUGCAUACUCGAUUGGGUAACGCCCACGAGUGCCACUCCGGAGUCGGACUUUGUGCUUUUGCGUUGUUGUCAUUAUGUCCUGGUUGGACUCGCUCUCCACUGACGACUAAGCAUGGUGGUAGUUAGUAUAACUUCGACAUGCGGGACAGGUGUGUUCACAGUCCCUAGUGAGAUUAGGUCAGAGUUUGUGUAGUGACCCUGGAAUUCAGCAUUUGAGGCUUGUCGACAGCUCUGGAUAGUGUCGGGAUGAGUCCAAGUCCUAUUAGCGCGAAAUAGAUGCAAACUGCACUCAGCGAGACACGAGAGCAGAGAGUUAGCAUUGCAAUCUGCAAAUUGCAGAAUUUCAGCAAUUGGUACCGGUACCACAUAGGGGCGUACCGGUACCCGGUGCAAUUUUCUGCGCAGACUGCUCUCGGGUUGCCCAUUCUGCUGCGCGGUACCGUUACAACAUUGGAUUGGUACCGGUACUCCAGGGUUGGUGAGGGGCUGAAUGGUCUUUUGACUGCCUCGUUGUCUUCACCCUCACCUACUCUCCUUAUAUACGUGUAGAGGAGCAAGGAUGGAGGGUUUUGCAGCUUCUUCUUCUCCUCUCUCUCUAGCUUGUGCCGUACGUGGUGGAGCUCUCCGGUGGAAUCGGAGCGACGUCGACGUUGUGCCGCGGAGCCGUUCGAGCGUGCGUUCGUCGUGGUAGCGUCGUGGGAAGGCCGAGCGAGCGUGUGGUUCCGCUUUUGUCAACUUCUCGCCGUUGUUGGACGCGCUUUCGAGGUGGGUCAAAGUGAUGCUUACGGAAUUUCGCGGAUUUUCCUCCUAAUUCUAUAUAUUGACAGCAUGUGUUUUUUUAGCUUCGUUUAGCAUAUUGUUUAGCUCAAUAUUUGGAUUUGCAUGUUAUUGAUCUUGAAUUGGAGCUUAAAAUACUAGCUAAAUUAUACAUGUUGGACUUGAUUUUUGACUUAGGAGAAAACUGGCGUUUCUACACUGUCAUAUGUUAAAACUACCAGAUUUAGCUCUAAGAGCCGUAGUUUGUUAGUAUCGCCGCAGUUUGUGGGCGGUGAAUAUCCAGAAUAGUGUAGAAUAUAUUUACGCUAGUGCUGAGGUAUCGAGUGUAUUUUUACAGCAGUAUUUAGGCUGUUCCGGAUUGUCGGUGUCGUUGAGGUUGACGGUGGACCCAGAUUGCUGUUUUUGCAUCAGAUUCUGCCGAAGGCACGUGAGUUCAGCUGUUAGACUCUGUUUACUUGACUAUAGCCUAUGAGAGCCUGAUUGAGCUUGACAGAGACAUCCUUGCAUACUCGGUUGGGUAGCACCCAUGAGUGCCACUCCAGAGUCGAGCUUUGUGCGUUUGCGUUGGUGUCGUUUUGUCCUAGUUGGACUUGCUCUCCACUGAUGACCUGGUUUGGUGUCAAUUAGUGUAGCUUCGACAGGCGAAUUGUUGUGUUAGAGCAUGAUAGUAUGGUGGCAUUUAGUUGUAGAUUUAUUCCAGCCUUCCUUACUAUCCCUACUUACUUCUGUAGACUUAGUGGGUGAGCCAUUGAGGUCGGUAGCGGUGCCCACUGAGGACUAUUUCUUUUUGCAGUAGUUCUCAUGCCUAGUUGUUGAAACCUUUUGCAGAGCCAUCUUCUUCAACUGCUGUUGCUGCUGAGUCUGAUCGUGGAAAGGGCGUGGCGAGUUAGAGCCCUUCCUGACGAGUUGCAGAGCUAGAGGAGUAUCAGCUAUAGAUAGUUGUAGUUUUUGGGUUAUGAUACAUACUAAUGCUUGUAUCUCGCUGGAGCGAGUAUUUUUUUGUUUACCUGAAUGUGACGUACGUAUAGUGAACCUCUGAUGUUAUAUAUGUUUUAUUUCGGCAGCUCUAUACUGCUGGUUGUAGUGUUGUAUGAUUACAGGUACACCUAUCGCUUCGUAUAUAGGAAAAGUUUUUUUUAUACGACGGAUUUGUCGGCGUGCCCGGGGAAACGAGUAAUCCGGGGCGUGACAGUUUGCAUUUUCUACAGAUAGUUAGUGUUGGUUAGCGAUAGUAUAAUAACAUAUAGUUGUAGAGUUUUUUCAGCUUCCUUUACUAUUCUUGAGCAUACCUUCUGUAGACUUAGUGGGUGAGCCGUUGAGGUCGGUAGCAGUUCCCACUGAGGACUACUUCUUUUUGCAAUAGUUCUCAUACCUAGUUGUUGACCCCUUUUUGCAGAGCCUCCUUCUUCGGCUGUUGCUGUUGCUGUUGCUGAUUCUGAUCGUGGAAAGGGAGUCGCGAGCUAGAUCCCUUCCAGUUUUGUUGCUGCUUAAAGGAGUACCAACUACAAGUAGUUUUGGAUUUUUGGGUCAUGUACAUGCUGAUGUUAGAUCCUCGCUGGAGCGAGUAUUUUGUAUCUGGAGACUAUGUAUGUAUUGUGAACCCGAUGCUUAUUUUUAUAUGUUACAGUUCUGUUAGCAGCUCUAUACUAUUAGUUGUAGUUUUGUAUGAUUAUAGGUACAGGUACAGCUAUCGCUUCGUAUAUAGGAAAAUUUUUUUUUAUACGGCGGAUUUGUCGGCGUGCCCGAGGAAACGAGUAAUCCGGGGCGUGACAUCGGAAUAGCUUGGAUUUUUGAUAGAAAUUUCUAUUCACUACCUAAAUAAAGAUCAAUAACUCCGAUCUUAAAUUGAAAGAUCCGAUCAUCUAUUUUUAGGAUGUCGUUCUAUACCCCCUUGAUAGACUUUAUAAUGAUUUCGAAAAAUUACGAAAUUUAUUUUCUAGAAGUUUCAAAUACUCUAAAUCAUGUUUAAUGGUGUGGAUCCUCGAUUUGAAGAGCCCAACAGCGAAAACAACUUAUGAGUACGAAGGGCUGUAUACUCAUAAGAGUAUAGUAGCCCUACUAUAUAUAUAUAUAUAUAUAUAUAUAUAUAUAUAUAUAUAUAUAUAUAUAUAUAUAUAUAUAUAUAACUAGGCUGGAANUUUUUUGAAAAAAUAAUUAGCAAAGUACACAUUUUCAAAAUAAAAAGUAUUAGUACAAAUUAGUAAAGAUUUUUUUUUAGAGAAAAUAUAAUAGCAUUCUGUUACUGUUCACUUCGUUUAUCUUUUUAAAGAGAAUAAACUCAUUUAGAACUAUUUAUUUAGUGUUUAAUUUGAGUGCACUUCGAUGUGACACGCACCGCAAGACCAAAUUAUCUCCACGUGCUUGUUUGACUAUGUGGGCUAAUGCUAGAAACGAAAGAUGCAAACAAAUUUAAUUUGGUUGAGCUAUGAAAAGCACUUGUUACUAUCAAUUAGGUUGGUGAACUUCCCAAUGAAUUGAGGUCUAAAUAAUGUAGACAUAAUAUAUAUAUAUAUAUAUGUUUUAUUAGAUCGAGUAUCUAUAUAGUGUUCUAGGGAGUCAAAAUCUAGUUUACUAGCUCAUUCAUUGGCUUCCAUGCUAUAUAUAUAGGUUUCCAUGGUUUCUUAGCAUCAAAGAAGAGAAAAAAAUAAAAAGGAGGGAUCUAAUUAUGCACUAAUAAUAUAGAUCUAAUCAUAUUCAUUUUUGAAAAAAAAAAAACUUAUAUAUAUAUAUAUACCACAUAUAUAUUUUUAAGAACACAAUUCUACUGUUUGAAGUGCAGAAAUUUACAAUAUGCAGAAUUAUAAAAUACAAAAAUUAUAUCUAUACUUCCUAUGAGUAAUUAUUUUUUGGUGUUUUCUUACCGUGAUUCUAUUAAAUUAGAAUGUUUGUUCAAAUAGGAAAAGAUUUUUAAUACCUAAGGCAAUGUUUUUUUAUUGUGUUUUAUUUUUUUUAUCUUUUUAAAUAAAGUUUUGUAUAUCAAAAGAUAUAGAAGUGAACAGUGUAUUGCUUGCAAUGCUUUUAUCCAAAAUAUUUACUUAACAAUAAAAAAUUAAAUCUUAAAAAUAAUUUUUUUUUCUUUCAUUUUUUUUUAAAAAAUUGUCAUUCAUUACUGGACUGGAUACAUUGUAAGCUAACUCACUAUAGAAAUAAAAAAAAAAAAGUUUUUUCUUCCAAUACAUCAAAUUAUAUAUAUAUAUAUAUAUAUAUAUAUAAUGUUAAAAAAUAUAAAAAUGAUAAUGAUACCAAACAAGUCCUGAGUUUUAUAUUUUUAUAUUUUUGAUUCUCUUAUUUUACAUUUCUUAAACAAGGCUGCCAAGUGACAACUGAGUUGCAUGUUUGUCUCUGAUCUAAGCUUGAACAGCAGUAACAGGAAAAUUCAUAAUUCAUAAUUACAAUAUUUGAAAAUACAACAAUGAUUAAUAUGAUUAAUCUAUGGAAACAAUGAUUUUGAGGUCCCACCUUAAAAGGGACACAACAACAACUUCAACUUAGCCCCCACAUCUUUCAAAUAAAUACAAGUUGUUAGAUUAAAAAAAUGAGCAGGAAAAUGAAAGGGAAAGUUCCUUUGAAUAGCUUUAUACAUAUGGGCCUUACUGAAGGAAAAAAAUUGCAAUGGACCCCCAUAUAUAUAUAUAUAGAGAGAGAGAGAGAGAGAGAGAGAGAGAGAGAGAAAGAGAGAGUGAGGCUAGUAUGCUUCUGGAAGCACAGAGUGCUCCGUGCUUUCAAGUCGUUUUCGACGUUAGGACUUUCGAAUCGAUGAUCGGCUUCGUUAGAGUGCCUAGUGAUUGAAGGGGCUCAAAAUCAACGGCUGAAAAUAAAAAUCUUACAAAAUUUAUUUUCUCGGUACUUUAAAUACUCUAGAUCACUCUAUAUAUGUAAUAUACUGAAUCUUAGCAAAUUAGCAAGGUUACAGUAUAAGUUAUGCUUGAUUGAGUUGGAGACGUUUUGCGCAAAAUAGACGUAAAAGCGGACUUUGAAACUUAAGAUUUAUAUUGUAGAGGACUAAAGUUGAAUGCUAGAGUAGGUGAGGGGCUUUUGGACAAUUGUUUCCUUUCAACCUUAUCCCCACCGCCUUAAUUAGGAUAGGGAGGCUGUAAGGGAUUUAAUUAACUUUCUUCUCUCUUUCACUCUAAUUUAGCUCGUGGGCACGAUGGAGAGCUCGAGCUCGGGAGAUUUUCGUUGUCGUUUCGGAGAGCCGUUCGAGCGUGCGUUCGUCGUGGUAGCGCCGUUGGAGAAAAUUGACUUUUCUACGCCGCCAUUUGAACAAACUAUCAGAUUUAGCUUUAGGAGCCGUAGUUUGAUUGUAUUAUCGCAGUUUGUGGGCGGUGGAUACCCAGAAUAGUGUAGAAUAUAUUUACACUCGUGCUGAAGUGCCGAGUGUAUUUUUACAGCAGUGUUUAGGCUGUUCAGAAUUGUCGGGUGCUGUUGAGGUUGACGGUGGACCCAGAUUGCUAUUUUUGCAUCAGCUUGUGCCGAGGGCACGUGAGUUCAAUUGUUAGACCCUGUUUACUUGACUAUAGCCCGUGAGAGCCUGAUUGAGCUCGACAGAGAUACGCUUGCAUACUAGGUUGGAUAGCGCCCACGAGUGCCACUCCGGAGUCGGGCUUUGUGCGUUUGCGUUGGUGUCGUUGUGUCCUGGUUGGACUUGCUCUCCACGGACUGCUUAGUGUGGAGGUAGCUGUUUAGCUUCAACAGGCUGGGACGGGUGUUUUCACAGUCCCUGGGACCGGUGUGUUCAUAGUCCCUAGUGAGAUUGGGUCAAAUUGUACUUUUCUACAGAUAGUGGGUGAUAGACCGGGAUAGUAUAGGUGCAUAUAGCUGUAGAUUUAUUCCAGCUUUCUUACUAUACUUGUUUACAUCUAUAGACUUAAUGGGUGAGCUGUUGGGGUCUGUAGCGGUACCCACUGAGGACUACUUUUUACAGUAGUUCUCACGCCCAGUUAUUGGAAUCUUUUGCAGAGCCUUCUUCUUCGGCUGCUGCUGCUGCUGAUUCGGACCGUGGAAAGGGAGUCGCGAGUUAGAUCCCUUCCCAGUUGCUGCUAAGCUAGAAUAUACUAACUACAGGUAGUGAUAGUUUUUGAGUUCAUAUACAUAAUUAUGUUCUAUCUCGCUGGAGCGAGCGUUUUGUACACCUGGAUUUGAUGUAUGUAUAGUGAACUUCUGUUUUUAUAUUUGUUCUCUUUUAGCAGCUCUAUACUACUGGUUGUAGUAUUGUAUGAUUACAGGUACAGCUAUCGCUUCGUAUACAGGAAAAAUUCCUUUGUAUAUGACGGAUUUGUCGGCGUGCCCGAAAAAACGAGGAAUCCGGGGCGUGACAAUAUAUAUAUAUAUAUAUAUAUAUAGAGAGAGAGAGAGAGAGAGAGAGAGAGAGAGAGAGAGAAAGAGAGAGUUUUGCUAGAAUACUAUUGGUAGUAAACGGCUCGGUUUACUACCGAUUUGUUUUCGAUGAUAGAGCUUCCCAAUUGAUGAUCGGCACCGUUAAACAUGAUCUAAACUAUUUAAACUAUCUGAAAAUCAAAUUUCACACAUUUUCGAUAUUGUUCUCUUGUCCAUCAAAUGAACAGAAAAAUGAAUGGCUGGAAAUGAAUAUCCUUCAAAAAGUUAUGAUACAAUUUUUAUAUUUGAGAUCUAGAGUCUAGAUCUUAUUUUAAAUAGUUUAAAAAAAUUUUUAACAAAAAUUUAGUCUAUACCGUUAAACGAGCAAACGCACCAUAUCGGCCAUUAAAAUUAUAGAUUUUGUGACCCUUUGAUCGUUCAGUUAGUGAUGCCAAAAAAAUCAUAAAAUUUGAUUUCUAGAUAAUUUAAAUGGUCUAGAUCAUGUUCAACGGUGCCGAUCGUCGAUUUGGAAGCUCUAUCAUAAAAAACAAAUCGAUAGUAACGAGCAGUUUACUACUGAUAGUAGCCCGGUCAAAACACUCUCUCUCUCUCUCUCCUCUCUCUCUCCUCCCUCUCUCUCUCUCUCUUCUCUCUCCCCUCUCGCUCUCUCUCUCUCUCCGUCUCUCUCUCUUAUAUAAUAUAUAUAUAUAUAUAUAUAUAUAUAUAUUAUGAUAGCUGGAAUAACUAUUAAUAGUAAAACGCUCUUUUUGCUAUCAAUUUUUCCUUGGAGAAAAAUUGUAAGGUCAGGAUGAUAUUAGUCGUUAGAGUUGAGGGUCCCCACUGGUUAUAGUAUUUAAUCCAAUGGUUAGAAAUAAUGAAAAGAGUUUAUCCAAAGGCUAAAAAACUGGUAGCAACAAUAGGAUUUUGCUACUAAUAGUAGCCCAGUCCAACUAAUAUAUAUAUAUAUAUAUAUAUAAUAUAUAUAUAGUGAGGCUAGUAUGCUUUUGGAAGCACGAAGCGCUCUGUGCUUUCAAGUUGUUUUCGAUGUUAGGACUUUCGAAUCGAUGAUCGGCUCCGUUAGAGUUGAUCUAGAGUAUUUAAAGUACCGAGAAAAUAAAUUUUGUGAUUUUUCAAUAUCAUAUGCCUAGUGAUCGAAGGUGCUCAAAUCAAUAAUUUUAAUGGCCGUAGUGAGCCGUUUGCAAGUUUAACGGUGUAUAAAUAUCCAAAUCACAUGAAAUUUUGAUAGAAAAUUUUUUAUACCAUAUAAAACAAGAUUAAUAACUUUGAUCUAAAAUUUUAAUGUCAUAUCAUCAAUAUUUGUAAGAUUUUUAUUUUCAGCCGUUGAUUUUGAGCCACUUCGAUUACUAGGCAAAUGAUACCGAAAAAUCGUAAAAUUUAUUUUCUAGAUAUUUCAAAUACUCUAGAUCAAGUCUAAUGGAGCCGAUCGUCGAUUCGAAAGUCCGAACAUUGAAAACAACUUGGAAGCACGGAAGCAUGCCAGACGCACUAUAUAUAUAUAUAUAUAUAUAUAUAUAUAUAUAUAGCAGGGCUGCUGCUCUGAGCCGUUUUUGAUGAUGGAGUUUUCGAAUCGACGAUCGGCUCGUUAAACUUGAUCUAGCGUAUUUAAAGUUUCUAGAAAAUAAUUUUUGCGAUUUUUCGAUAUCAUUUACCUAGCAAUCGAAAUGAUUCAAAAUCAAUAAUUUUUAACGACUGAAAAUAAAAAUUCUAUAAAAAGUAGUGUAUAGCACUAAAAUUUCGAUCAGAAAUAGAUCUUGUUGUAGAUAGUAUAAAGAAUUUUCUAUCAAAAUUUCAUCUGAUUUGAAUACUUCUACACCGUUAAACUUGAAAACGGCAGAUAUAAACCAUUAAAAAUUAUGGAUGUUGAAUCCUUUCGAUCACUAGGUAAAUAAUAUCGAAAAAUCACAAAAAUUAUUUUCUAGAAACUUCAAAUGCGCUAGAUCAAGUCUAACGGAGCCGAUCGUUGAUUCGAAAAUUCCAUCAUCGAAAACAGCUCAGGAGCACGGAGGCCUCCGUCUCCUGAGAGCACAGCAGCCUGCUCUCUCUCUCUCUCUCUUCCCUUCUCUCUCUCUCUCUCUCUCUCUCCUCUCUAUAUAUAUAUAUAAUUAUAUAUAUAUAUAUAUAUAUAUAUAGAGCUAGUCUCAUAUACUAUCUAUAUACCAAGGCUACCCGGUAUUAUAGUCUUGGUUUUGAUCUUAGGGUAUUCAAAUCAACGAUCCACACAGUUAAAACUGAUCUUGGGUAUUUAAAGUUUUUAGAAAUAAAAUUUUAUAAUUUUUCAACAUAAUUUACUUUAUGAUUAAAUCAUUUCGAAAUUGUCAGUUUUCAGUGACUACUAUAGCGAGUUUGGAGUUUAACUAUGUAGAAGAAUCUAAAUUUCUUCAAAUUUUGAUAGAAAAUACUUUAAACUAUCUAGAUUAAGGUUAACAUUCUUGAUCUUAAAUUUAAAAGUCCUAUGCUCAAAUUUUAAAGGUUAUUCAAUUUCCACCGUUCAUUUUAACAUACUUUAUUUACCAAGUAAACGAUAUCGAAAAAACUAAAAUUUUAUUCAUAAAAACUUCAUAUACCCUAAAUUUUAUAUAUAUAUAUAUAUAGGAAGGCCAAGUUCUCCCUUGCUUGUCCAGUUGGGUCAUGUUGUCAUCCCUCUAUGUACUCAAGCCCAAAAAUAAAAGCUUAAAUAUUUAAAUUGUCUAUUAUUAUUAUUAUAGUACUGGAACUGCUACAAUCUAUCUUCUAUAUUCUAUAUUCUAUAUAUAAAAGUUUAAUUUCGAAUGUUGAUGUGGAGGCUUCUCCUUAUUUUGGGCCAAGUGGAGCCCAUCUUCAACAAAAUUUUUUAUAUAUACAUAUUUAUGUAUAACUCUGGCAUCUGUUGCCAUUCUCCCUUCUUACGCUCUUCAUCUCCACAUUACAUUUUUUUAUAUAUAUAUGUAUAUCUCUAUCCAGCAAACUCAGGUUUAGUAAGGCUGCAGCUCCUCUCUCAACCUAUACCCUUCCACUAGGGUUUUUUUUUUUUUAUAUAUAUAUAUAUAUAUAUAUAUAUAUAUAUAUAUAUAUAUAUAUAUGUAUUUAUCUGAUGCGUCUAAUUUGGCGUUAGAAUUUAUGAAGAAGCUUGAUCUAAUCAAAUUGGACCAAAAAAUUUAGUGAAUUCAGCAAUUUUUACGAACAGUCCGAAAUAUUCUUUACAUCGUUAUAACUUUUUGCAUAGCUGUUUAUUUUCAGCAUGCAACUCUAAUUCGAAAACAAGUUUUCGAGAUCUAUGCGCGGAAUGGCGCGCAUUGCCAUUUUGGUCUAGGUUGGAAUCUAACUAUAAUUAUUUAGACCUUCCAAUUUAUCUUUUUUAGGCUGCUUUUUGAGAAGUUUUUAUAAUUUUUUUCUAUUUUGAGUCAGUUAGAUUAGUCAGUUAUAAUCUAUGGUAAAUUGCUCUACUAGCUUGAGUACUUUUACAGAAGUUGUACUACAGCUUCUAACAUUUUAAUGUGAAUUUAACUGUUUACAAACAUUUACAAAUGUAUCAAAUGAUCUAUUGUUAAAACUAUUGACUGAGAUUAAGAUAAUUUAUUAAACCCACAUUGGUAUCAAAAGUGCGAAUUAGGCCUUAUUUCGGAGCAAAGCUCAUUUUGAUAUACAAUUACUUUUUUUUUUUUUUCAGAUAGAAAGAAAUAUUUUACAAUUAAGUUUUCCAUCAAAAAAAAAUGUUACCGGAUAUUCGCUUAUCAGACUUUAUGCUACCAAAUUCAACUUUAAAUGACAACAGACGAAUUUGAUAUAUUUGUGAAAAUUCAAAAGAAACUAAAUGACUUGAGAAAAAUUAACGUAAACUAAAUGUGUCAAAAGAGUUAAUUAAAAGGAUUAAUUUCAUAUAGACUCCUACAAAUAUAUUUUUACAAAGUUCAACUUUUAUAUAUUGUUUCUGCAAAAGUCCUGAUAUUUUUUCAAAUAUAUCUUUCUAGUUUGUUACCAUUAAAAAAAUAUUUAUAUUUUAUAUUUUGCCAUCACAAAUAUAUCUUUCCGAAAGGCAUAACAGUAUAUUAUAAAAGUAUAAAAAUAUCAAAAACUAACCGAGCUAAAUUUUUCUAACAGAUUCUUACAGCAGGAAUAUAUUUGAAAAUAUCAAGACUUUUGCAGGAACAACGUAUAAAAGUUGAACUUCGUAAAAAUAUAUUUGGUAUUCACUAUAUUUACAGAAGCUUGUAUGAAAUUAAUCCUAAUUAAAAACAAUGUGUUAAUUCGAAUUUGAUCUGGAAAGAAAAUAUAGGAAUAAUAAUAUCUUUUCAUUAAUAAUAAGGGUGGGAGAGAUUAUUAAGGGCAAGUGACAAUGAGUGAGUACAAAACUUUUCCAGUGACAUCCAAUGUCCUGCUCCCAAAAAAGAUUGCACUCGCCUGAACAGUAAAUAAAAAAAAAAAAAAUUCUACCAUAUGCGCCUCUCAUUUCUCAUUAUCAUCAAAUAUCACUCAAGUUCGUAUCUCAAAACAACUUUAGUGGUAUCCGUGAUAAAGAUCACGUCUGAAUUGUCUGAUAGAAUUUUUUUUUUGUUUUCACUUUUAUUUUUCUGGAAAAAAAAACAACAACAACAACAACGAUCUGCAGCCUACUUCUUCUACUCAUCCCUUAGAGCGUAAAAUUGAUGAUAAAACUCCGACAUGCGGUGAAGACGCGAUCUUAGCUUUGUUCCACGAUCGUCGAACUGGGUAUGAUAUCGUCCUCGUACACGCACCGCACGUACCGGUCGCGGCAGCGGAGCGGUGGAGCGCGCAUUUGCAAUCUCGGUGAUACGGCCGGCGCUCCCUAUCGCCGUGCGAGGCGUCGAUGCAGCCCUCAAAGACGGGCCGGAGCAGCCGCCUCCCGGCGGCGGCGGCUCCGGCAGCCAUCGUCGACGUGCGAGAGAUCGAGCCCCCGCCGCCACCCCCGCAGCUAUAUAACGAUAGUAUUCUAUUGCUUUUAUGGUCAACCACGUUCUUCGCCGAGAGUGGUGGGGUGGUGUAUAUAUAUAUACACACACGUAGAAUGGUGGCCGGAUAAAUACAAGGGGCUUAGAGGUAUCCGCGGGAGAGCUUUUUACACAAGGUGAUCCUAUUCUUGUGCCUUGUAUAUUAUAUUGAGGAGUACAAAAUAUGUUGUUGGGUUGUGGGAGAAGGAGACGAAUUAACGUUCGUGAUUAGAGAGAGGGGCAUAGGACAUGUAAAUAUAUUAUAAGGUAAAUAAAUAGGCGUAAAAUUUAUUCGAAUUAUAAAUUAUUUUGAAUUAAUUGUUUAAUUUUUUAAAGUUUUUAUUUUAUUAUCUAAUCUUUGAAUUUGUUCGGUAUAAAUUAAUAAAGUCAUAUAAAUUUCCUUCAAGGGAUAAAAGGAAAUAAGAAAUAACAACUCCUUUAUAAGUCAUUAUAAUAUAAAUGAUCAAAAGUUUGAUCGAAGAACUAAAAAAUUAGAAACAACAACUCCUUUAUGCUUUCAAAGCACCGUAGUCGAACUUCAUUAACUAAUAUUUAUAUUAUUUGCAUAACUAAUAUUUUAAUUUAUCAAAUUAAUAUAUUAACUAAAAAUAUAAUUGAUUAAAUAAUUUAUUAAUAUUAAUAUAUUGAUUUGUUUUUUUUAUAGUUAUUCACUAAUUAACAUUAUUCUUCAUCAUCUCAUAUAGUAUUCCCAAUUAAUUAAUUUAUUACUUAUUAAAAAAUUAUUUUAUGAAUAUUAGGUGCUUAUUAUUUAGACAAAUUAUUUUUUCCAAUCGUAAUUAUUUUUAUUUCUACCAUUUCAACCCAAUCAUCCAAAUUUAAUUUUUCGUAUCUCCCACAAUAUCUAGAGUCUCAUUCAAAUAUAACAUUGAUCUAAUUCCUGCUUAUCUCAGAAAAUAUACCCAUUCCAAGAAUAAGUAAGAAUAACUUGUUCCCGAACCAAAUAGUUCCUAAUUUAAAAUUUGAAUGCUCCAUAUAAUUUUUCAUAUUUAUCUAUUAUACUUUAUGAAAUUCUCAUAAUUAUAAAUUUAUUAAAAUAAGUAAUUAGCUUAAAUUUUAAAGUUAAAGUAUCGACUCAAAUCAAACAAAUUGAAAGGUUGGAUAGUAAAAUCAAAAUUUUGAAAGAUAAAAUAGCCGAUUUAAAAUGAUCUGUAGUUUAGAUAAUUUAUGUAUAUUAUUAUCAUUUAUUAAUUAUUUUGAUCAUGGUAAGUGAGAGGGUUGUGGACCAUAGGGUAAAUUUACAACAUACCAUAGGGUAAAUUUACAACAUUGGUUUCAUGAUUUGGAUUAUUCCCACAAUUUAUUAUACUAGUAUAGUGACCCUCACAGUGCGAUAGGUAGGUAUUUUGCUUAGUCAUAAAGAAUAUAAAGAAUUUUUAAGAAGAUUGCCUAGUAUUUUUAUUAUUAUUUUUUUUAUACAACAACUAAUAGUAGAAUCACCGAUAUAUUUGUUUAUACUAAUUUUUUACUUCUUUUAUUUUGAAAAUAUUCAAAUCGAAUAAUGUAAGAGUGUAGUAUCCCUGGUGGCCAGCAGCUGUAGAAUUACAGCAUCUGAGGCUUGUCGACACAUCUGGAGAGUGUCGGGACAAGUCCGAAUCAUAUUGACGGGAAUUAGACGCAAAACGGACUCGUUGCGACGAGAGAGCAGAAUUUUUGCGUUGGAAUCUGCAAAUGACAGAUUUUCAACAAGGUGAAUCGGUAACACACAGGAGCGUACCGGUACCCUGUGUGUUUACAGCGCAAACUGCUCUCGGGUUGCAAAUUCUGCUGCGGGGUACCGGUACGGCAUCGGCCUGGUACCGGUACUCCAGGGUAGGUGAGGGGCUGUUUAGUCUUUUGAUGCCUCAUUCACUUCACCCUUAUCCCCACUACUAUAUAUAGGAUAGAGAGAGGCUGAGGAGGAGUUUAUUUCUACUAUGCUCUCUUUUUCUAGUUUGACCGUGAGCAAGGUGGAGGCUUCGGGUAAAGUUUGGAUCGAUGUCGACGACGCGCCGAGGAGCCGUUCGAGUACGCGGCCGUCGUAGUUGCGUCGUUCGAAGGCCGGGCGAGCGCGUGGUUCCUCUCCUAUCGACUUCUUACCGGAAUUGGAUUAGCGUUUCGAGGUGGGCUAAUAAUAUGCUUACCGGAUUCUACGGAUUUUCUCCUAAGCCUAGUUUGUUGUCGACAUGUAUUUUUGGUCUUGUACAUCAUGUUAAUUAGCUCAAAUUCAUUGAUAUGUAUUUUUGCUUGAAAUCUGAAUUUGGAGUAUAGUCGGUGGUUAAGAUAAAUUAUACAUGUUGGAUUUGGAAUUGACUUAGGAGAAAACUAUCAAUUCUACACCGUCAUUUUCUCAAACUACCAGAUUUAGCUCUAGAAGCCGUAGUUUGUUUGUAUCUCCACAGUUUGUGGGCGGUGGAUACCCAGAAUAGUGUAGAAUGAAAUUACACUCGUGCUGGGAUGUCGAGAUUAUUUUUACAGUAGUGUAUAGACUGUUCCGAACUGUCGGGUGCCGUUGGGGUUGACGGUGGACCCAGAUUAUGGCUGUUAGACUUGUUAGACCCUUCUGUUUUGACUAUAGCCUGUGAGAGCCUAAUUGAGCUCGGCAGAGAUACGCUUGCAUACUCGGCUCGGUAGCGCCAACGAGUGCCACUCCGGAGUCGGGCCUAAUGCUUUUGCGUUGAUGUCGUGGUGUCCUAGUUGGACUUGCUCUCCACUGACAAUCCAGCAUGGUGAUAGUUAGUAUAGCUUCGGCAGGCGGGACGGGUGUGUUCACAGUCUCUAGUGAGAUUGGGUCAGAGAUUGCAUUUUCUACAGAUAGUUAGUGUUGGAUUCGUGAUAGUAUAGUGGCAUAUAGCUGUAGAUUUAUUUCAGCUUCCUUUACUAUCUUUGAACAUACAUCUGUAGACUUAGUGGGUGAGCCGUUGAGGUCGGUAGCGGUACCCACUGAAGACUACUUCUUUUUGCAGUAGUUCUCACACCCAGUUGUUGAAUCUUUUGCAGAGCCCUCUUCUUCAGCUGCUGCUGUUGCUGAUACAGAUCGUGGAAAGGGAGUCGCGAGUUAGAUCCCUUCCCGUUUUGCUGCUGAUCUAGAGACAUACCAGCUACAAGUAGUUGUAGUUUUUUGUUCUAUUACAUACUGAUGUUAGUUCCUCGCUGACGAGUGGUUCUUGUAUCGGGAUGCUAUGUAUGUAUGUUGAACCGAUAGUUUUAUUUAUGUAUUUCUUUUAGCAGCUCUAUACUACUAGUUGUAGUAUUGUAUGAUUACAGGUACAGGUACAGCUAUCGCUUCAUAUAUAUGAAAAUUUUCUUUAUAUACGGCGGAUUUGUCGGCGUGCCCGGAAAAACGAGUAAUCCGGGGCAUGACAAGGAGAACAAACUAAAUUUUUUUAUAAGCAUCGCAUACAGAAGGACUUACAAAUUCAAAGCCCAAUGGUGCAGAACAAUCACUAAAGCUAAGAGAUUAAUUUCUAAGUAAAAAAAAAAAAAUCAAAAUUAUUAUACAUAUAUAUAUAUAUAUAUAUAGUGAAGCUAGAAUACUCUCAAAAGCACCAAGGGGGUAGUGCUUUUGAGUUUUUAACCAUUGGAUGGAGAGAUGUAGGGUUGACAUGAUGGUGGUAGGCGGAAUAGUGUUUGAUUCAAAGGGUAUUAGUAAUUAAGGAGUAGAUUCAAGGGCUAGAAACUUAGAAGCACCAAGGGGUUAGUGCUUCUAAAAGUAUUCUAGCUCAAUUAUAUAUAUAUAUAUAUAUAUAUAUAUAUAUAUAUAUAUAUAUAUAUAUAUAUAUUUGUGAAAGAACUCGUAAACACUUACUAUAUUACUAGAAAAUAUAAAUAUAUCACAAAAAAAAGUACUUUCUUAUAGUUUAAAUUUUUAGAAAAAAUUAAUUUUUUUCACGUGAUAACAGAGCACGAGAUCUUCUGUUUAUUAUAUUUUCUAUAAAAUAUAAAAUACUAUUUAACUUUUUUAUGUAAUUGAAAUCUAAAAUAUAAGAAAACACCCUUUUAUGUAUAUCUAACAUAAANGGGCGCAAGACUUAGGUUUGGUAAAAAAAGAAAAUCAACCUCGGAUAAUAAGAAAAAGAGUUUGUUAGCUAGGUUCACUAGCUAUCUAUUGUUAGUGAUAGUAGCGACAAUGUACCCAAGGAGAAGCAAGACCAUAAGAGCUAAAGGAAAAGGGCCAAGAGGUUCGAAAAAAGAUUAGAACACAAGUUUUACUUUAAAAAAAAAAGGAAAUAAGGCAUUUAUAAAGAGGCCAUGGCCACUGUGAGCCUUACUAUGACUCUGUCCCAGUAUAUAGGCAUUUAUAAAGAGGCAAAAAGACAUAAAAUAACCCUUAGUAUUCAAUAAGGACAAAAUCGAAGUAGCGAAGGGACCACAAAAUUGAAACAGCGAAGAGAUAUGAAGCGAUAAUGAAUUGGAUCCAUUUUUCUCAUCAAGAAGGGUAGCCAUAAAUGGAAACAAAGCGGCGAUAAUGAAAACUCCGAGAGAAGAAGAGGCGACGAUGUACCAGGCCAACUUUCUGUCUCGAGGAACCACACUCCGAACAAAGUAACAACAAACGAAAUGAACCGGUUCAACGAUAAGAUGAGAAACCAAUUCAAUGGUAGUGGCAACAAACAAAGCGAACCAGUCCAACAAUGAGAAGAGAAUCCGGCGGUUCAAUAGAAAGUAUUGAAUAGGGAAUCCUGACAGGCAGCUCCCAUGCUUAUAAAGCAAGAAAAACUUGCCACAUUGACUCCUAAUACGGAGAUUAAUAAGAGAAUAUAGAUAUUCUAUGCAUAACGCAAAUAAAGAAUACUUAGCCUAACUUUAAGAAAGUGAAUUUUGAAUUAAAAGUAAUUUUCUUUUUAAUAGAGUAUUUGUUAUAUUUUUUUUGGAAAAUUUUAUUUGAUCUUUAGAAUCAGGUUCCUCAAAUCAGAAGACAAAACUCGCAUCCUAAAAUCUAUUCUAAUUUUAACUUCAAAUUUUAGAUUUAAUUUUAAAUUUUAAUUAAUUUUAAAUUUUUAAUUCAAAAUUGAUAAAUUUGAAAUUUUAAAAUUCAACAUUCUAAAUUUUAAAAUGCUGAAUUUUAAACUUUUAAAUUUAAUAAUUCAAAAUUUUAAAUUUUAAAUUUUAGAUUUUAAAAUUCAAAUUUUCAAAUCUAAAUUUUGUUUUAAAAUUUAAGAUUUAAAAUUUGAAUUCUUAAAUUUAAAAUUUAAAAUUUAAAAUUUAAAAUUUUAAAAUUUAAAAUUAAAUUUUAGAUAUUUAAUUUUAAAUUUUAAAUUUAAAAAAUUAAUUUAGAAAAUUUUUCAAAUAUAUAGCUUCAUAGAAUUGCUUUAAAAAUUUACUUUCCUAAUCAAACUCAUUUAAACAUUCUACGACUUUUCACUAAAAAAGCAAUUCUUGGAACCAAAAUAACUUCAACUGGAAUCACUUUUCCAAAUUUGAAACUUAUAAAAAUAAGAGCCUUUAGGAAACAAGUAUAAACUCGAACAUCAUAAUUAAGUAAAGUGGCGAUGGAAACAGAAUGAGGGAAAAAGGAUAGAUCUGCGCAACAAAAAAAAGGAUAGAUUGGCGCAGCAUCGCGUAGGUAUUUCACUAAUAAAACAUAAUAUGUAACUAUCUUCGUCUAAAGUGUACGUGUCCAACAUGGUACAUGUGUGAACUCGCUACGUAGAUUGCUCCUAUCGGUCCUCUAUUCAAUCCCACAUCUGUAAAAACAAAGUCUGAGCCCACGACUUAGGCGAUUGGGAUACUACCGUAAGAAGUUAACAACUAAUUUAUCAAUUUAAAAUAAUUAACAGUAAUAUACAUAAUUACAUUAUAAUGUGCUAAUGAGUCUAAAUCCAAAUGCAAAGUAUGCAAACAGUGCAAUAGAGAAGAUAUGAUUGGUGGGUAUUGUUUUUUUUUUUUUUUUUUUUUUUUUUUUUUUUAGGGAGUGUGUGCGAGUUGUGUAUUUCAAGAAUAGGUUGGAUCGAUCCGGACGCACUUUUUUUUUGAGAGAGAGAGAGAUAGGUAGCACGCUAUCCGCUUUGUUUAUUUCAUUUAGAAAUAAACUUAGCUGAAAAUGUGAAUCAACUAGGAUUCGAACUUGGGUCUUGGGUACCAACCACCAAGCUCUUUGUCACUUGUUCUAGGGACAGUCGGUGCUCACCUAAUAUUGUUGAAUAUAAAUAAUAGGAAUACUAUCUAGGAAUGGUCGGUGGGUAUUGUUGGUACCACAGACACCAAAUGCCAUACUGUGACUCCAUCUUAUUCCAUACCUCGCACCUCCAAUAUUGUAUGUCACUUCAGAAUAGCUCUUUAUAACGUACGUAUCUGACCUCAGGUGUACAUUAUCUAUCCUCACUGACACUAGCUAGCUAGCUAUUUGGACGUUCGGCCAUCCUAAUGCAUAUUGAUCUUUUUUUUGAGAGAUAAGUAGCACGCUACCCGCUUCGUUUAUUUCAUUUAGAAAUAAAUUUAGCUGAAAAUGUAAAUCAACUAGGAUUCGAACUUAGGUCUCGGGUACUAGCCACCAAACCUUUUGUCACUUGCUCUAUGGACGGUCGGUCCUAAUGCAUAUUGAUCGUACCAGUUAAUAUGCUCGAGUGUCGCCCAAUAUGUAGCAUCCCUAAUACGAUAUACGUGUGCCAGUUUUUCGACGCCGUACAAGUACCCGGCCAUGCUAAUGUUUGACUCACGCAUGUCUGGCCCUACUAAACUUGGUAUUGUAUAUCGACUCGUGUGUGCCCUAUUUGGAAUCGCCACUCCACAGAUCAUAAUAGUGGUAGAAUCCCAAAUAAAACACAAGAAUCACAGAUAAAACACUAGAUUGGUUCCUCUGAACUACAGAGUCGUGCAUGGCUAAUUCAUAUGAGUUGUAUACAUUUUACCAAGAACUUGAGUUGGGAGUUUUGUGCAUAUUUUUUUUUUCCUUUUUUUGUGUGUUUUCUCUGAGGGGAGGCUACCAAGUAGUGGGAGGUGGCAAUUCAGCUCGCUAUUCACAAGCCAGCUCGUGUUCGACUCUAAAUGAGCUCGAGAUCGAAUCGCUCGUUCAAUAAAUUAACGAGCAGAAUACGAGCUGGGAUCAGCUCGCUUAUGUUCGGCUCAAUAACGGCUCGAAUACAUAUAUAUUUUAUAUUUAUAUAAUAUAUACUUUUAUUAUUUUAUUUUUAGCAAAAUAAAAAUAUAAAGCCGAGCUCAAUUAUAAAAAGACUUAUUUAUAUGUAAAGUUUCAAUCUUUUGAUUAAAAUCUAAUAGGUAAGAUUUUAUAAAUUUAAUUUUUUAUAUAUAUUCAAAAUCCUUUUAACUUAUUAUUCGUUGACCGGCGCUCGUAUUCGGCUAGUUUAUUAACGAGCCGAAUACAAACUGAAUUUUUCAACUCGAUACAUUAAGCACCCGUUUGGUUCAGGGUUAAGGGGUGGAAUAACCUCUUAACCCCGAAGUUAUUCCUAAACACCUAAUUGGGAGGGUGGGGUUAGCUAAUCCCACCUCACCCCACUACUCCAAUCAAACAAAACACUUUUUUACCCCCUAUCUUUCUUAUUUCACUUACUCCAAUCAAACACUAUUUUACGUAAUUCUGUACUAACUCCAAUUCUCAAUCAAACAUAAAAUUAUUCUAAUCCCACCUUAACUCUGAACUUAACCCUAUCCUUAAAAUAACUAGCUUUUUUUUAAUCCCGAACCAAACGAUAGCUAAAGAACCAGCUCGUGUUCAAUAAACGAGCCGAACACUAGCCUCGACAACCCUAGUUUUCUAGGAGGGGGAGGCUAGCAAGUACCAAGUGGGUGCAGUUAUGGCAACACUUAUUUAUUUAUUCAUUCAUUAGAUCAGAAAGGAGGGGACCUCUCAAAAUUUGAACAUGCUUGCAAUUCAUCCACCGCACCGCUCGCCUCUGCUGGCGGCACUAAUGAGCGAAAGCAAUCCGAGGGUAUCUUUUCUGUUGCCGUACCAAUAAUGGCCGCGGAAGCAGAGCUGGCGCAAGCAGCAGCGGCACCAGUCCAGUACUAGGUGCGGGGACCACGGUCUCCUCACUCUACAUCGCGCCACGUGUAACCACUGUAGCUGUGGUCCCCACACGCCUAGGCGACCGCUCCGGACCCGUCACGCUACUAAAUACUAAUUUCCCGAGCGAGGACCACUUUACUUGCACAGUAAUUCCCUGGACCAAAUGCACCAACGUUGUUCGUAGACUUCUCGUUCAUCUUUUCUUNUUUUUUUUUUUUUUUUUUUUUUUUUUUUUUUGUUUGCGGUAAUUUCUCGCUUUUUUAUUUUAUUACUACUACUCUUUGUGUAAACAUUUUUGUUAACUCUCCGUGAAGUCAUAUAUAAAAAAUUUCAGAUACCCUUCAUAAUUUACUGAAUAUUUAUUUUGGUACCUUUUGGUUUAUCGAAUUUUUAAUUUAAUACCAUGUGAUUUUAACUUUAUCACUAAUUUAACGAUAAAAUUAAUAGAGUGGAUAAUGAAGAAGAAAAAGUAAAACCACAUGAUACUAAAGUAAUGCAUUUUAAAAUUUAAACUACAAGAUAUAAAAGUGAGAAAGCGCGAAACUACAAGAGUGGCAUUUGAAGCUCUCCUUUUUUUUUUUUUUUUAAGUGAGAAAUUCUACUUUUACGGCCAAAAAGGGUGUAGAUCUUACAAUCCUAUUUUAGAGUUCAUAAAAAUUUAAAUAAUAUUUAGUAAAAAUAAAAAAAUUAAUUGACAGGUAAAAAAUUAAUGGUUCUUGGAUGAAUGUGGGUGCAGUAGCAUUGCUCUUUUGAAGUAGGGUAAAUUGAACUUGUGGCCCUCAAACUAUAGGUCAUGUGACACUUUGAUCCUUAAAUUUAAAUUCAUCGUAAUUUCUAACUCGAACUUUCAAAAUCCUUGCAACAAGUCCCACAAUCUAAUUAGUUGCCUAAAUAUUGACAAAUAACUAAUAUAUUUUAUUUUUACAUUAAUAAUGCGCUAAUAUUUAAUUAAUUAAAUUGGGUUGUAAGACUUGAUUGUAAUAAGUCUGAAAUUUUGAGUAAAAAAUUAUACUAAGUUAAAAUUGGAGGACCAAAGCGUCACCAACAUCAUAAUUUGAGGACCAAAUGUGCAAUUUACCCUUUUUUUGAAAAAAAAAAUUCUUUGGGUCAAGUUACACUUUGGUCCUCAAACUUUAUUUUAUUAUAAAAUUUAGCUUAAAAAUUUGAAAAUUAUUAUAAUUAAAUCCAACUGCUAUAUGCUGGUACGCUACUAGUGUCAGAGUAAUGUAACAUCUUAGUAAUUGUCAUGAUAUUAAUUUUAGCACCAUAUCAGCAAUACAUAAAUAUAUACUCAAAGAAAUUAGGCUAUAAAUCUUGAUUGUAACAAUCUUAAAAAAAAAAAUCUAAGCCAAAAUUUACAAUAAAUAAAAAAAUUGAGGGCCAAAGUGCCACAAACUACAUAAGUUGAGGGCAAAGCUGUAAUUUGGCAAUUCUUUUAUUACCGUAGUUUCUUUUUAUCGUAAUGAUCAUUAUAAAAUAGGAUGGUAAAAUAAUGUUUUUUUUACAAACCACAAAUAGUAGUUCAAAAAGCAUUACUUUUGCUAUCUUGUUAAAUAAUAGGUUCCUAAGAUGAGAUAAAAAUAAAAUUAUGGAAUAAUUACGUAUAAUUUUUGAACAAUUAUGUGACAAAGUUAAAAUAUAUUAAACCAUAUUGUGGUAAAUUAAAAUUUACCCUCUUGUUUAUCCUCGAAAAAUGCAACUAUAACCUAAGGAUUGGAAUCAUAUAAUCAUCUAUCCUAGAGUUGAUUCAAUCCUUUUUGAAUUUUAGUAUUAUUUAAAAAAAAAGGAUUAGUGGAUGGAAUUUGACUUUUAGAUGGUCAAAUUCUAAGAUUACAAUCUAAAAAUGGGUUGUAAUCUUAGCAUUUCUCUUAAUAAUUAUCAUCGAAUAACUACUGGGUAUUUUGAAACACGUCCCUCAACUUUUUCUAACAUAUUCUUAACUUCUAAUUUUUAUUUAAGUUACUUUAAUUGGUCGGGAUACAAAUUUUAUUAAAUUUUCUGACUUUAUUAGCUGACAAUUAUUACAAUUUUUUUUUGAUAAAACUAAUUAAAAUAAAUUUAACAAUUUGUUAACUUAUUUGAAUAAAAUUAUUUAACCACAAAAAAUAGGUGAAUUGUUAGUAAAAAUGACAAAAGUUCAAAGGGUCAAUUUCGAAAUGGCGCAGUUGAGGGGGUCUACAAGCACUUUUAACAUUUGGUCUACAAGCACUUUUAACAUUUGGGAGGGACAUGCUUAGACUCAAGGAUAUCUACAAAUGGGGAGCGUACUAUACGCUGGGUAAUGGGAGUACUAUCGACUUUUGGGAGGAUCGGUGGUGUGGGGAAACAACACUUCGCGCGUCAUUCCCUAAGAUAUUUUCCCGCUCUCCUUGUAAAAACUUGAGAAUCUACGAAUGUCUGAGUAGUAAUGGCUGGUGCUGGGAUACGAUUUUGGGUCAAGACAGUAUUGCUAAUCCCAGCGCGAACUCUGAGGUUUUACUCCUCAAGGACAGGUUAUCCAUUGCUACUACUACUCAAGGACACGAUAGCGUGCAGUGGCGUUGGAGUACUGAAGGACGAUUUACCAUGAAGUCAACCUACUCUACACUGCGUGACGGAGGCACGAGGGACACCCGAUAGAGUAAGAUCUGGUCUUUACGUUUACCCAUAAAAGUGAAAGUGUUCUGCUGGCUCGUCCUAAAGAAAAGACUGUUCACAACUGACAAUUUGGUAAAGCGAGGUUGGACUGGAAAUACGAAAUGCGUACUGUGUGGUCUGGAAGAGGAGACCGUUGACCACCUUUUCUCUCAGUGUUUAAUCUCAAGAUACCUUAUAACAGUCACACAAGAGAACUUCCAUCUGGGGAACCUAGGAGAUGAUGUGCGUGUGGUUUGGGACGGAUGGGCUGAAACAAAUAGAUCUUCCACUAUCUCAGCACGUCGUUUCAUAGGACUUAUAGCAACCUGGUGGAUCAUCUGGGAACUCCGAAAUAGGGCGAUCUUCAGGACGUCUCAGUACGAUCCAACAGUAGGUACUUACAAGAUCAUUCAGUUGACGGACCUGUGGAUGAAACUUUUGCCAAACUGACUCAACUGUAGCUGACCACCCCCCCCCCCUCCCCACCCCGCCUUUUUGCUCUUUUUUAUUAUUUUUUUUAUUUUUUUUUCACGUCUUCCCGUCACUUGCCGAGCCCUUGCUGCCUCACCCAUGUAGCUUAAUUCACUUCCUUACUGAAUGAAGCAGGUAGCGUGCUACCAUUCUCUAAAAAAAAAACAUUUGGGAUCAAUUAGUUUAUUAAUUUACAAUAUUUAAAAAGAUACUUUAAAUUUUACGCCGAGAGAGAUCUUGCUCAUAAAUAAUACAACUUAAGAUUGUUAACCACAAUUUUAUAAUAUACCUAUUAGCUGCGAAUAUGAUUCCACAACUUUGUCAACACCUUAUAUUACAUUUCAUUUGAGUUAGAUAGUAACACUUUAACUAUCUUAGAUUAAAACUACCUAAGGAUUUCUAAAAUAUUACCAACCUUGAAAUGAAUGACCCAUUAUUUAAAGGUAAAGAUUUAUAAAAUUGAUCUCACUUGCGGGUUGUUUUGAUUCGAUCACCCAACUUUUCAAAAUUAUAAUUUUAAUAUCUAAUUUUUUGACUUGUUUGAUUUAAGCGAUUUGAUAGCUCUUCGAAUACAGAAUUUAAACUAAUUACUUAUUUUAAUAAAUUUAUAGUUAUAUAAAUUGAAUUAAACAUACUAACUAAAUUAGUAAAGACAAAUGCCACAUUUAAAUUUGGCCAAUUUGCAUAAAAAAUUCAUUAGUUUUGAGUUUUUGUAAAAAUAUGCCGUCUUUUUAGAUUUUGCAGAUUCGGGCCCGAAUUUUUAGAAAACUAAGCAAAAUACCCUUAUUCCCUUUUCUCUGUCAUUUUUUUUCUUUCAACUCUGUCCCACGCGACCUCAACCUCACCCUCGCCCGCGCACCCUCGAUUCGCCUUUCUCGCCUCCAAUCCCGCCGAGGCCAUGCCGUGACCUUCUUCUUUUUUUUUUCUUUUCGAUCUUUCUCCAUCGCCUCCCUAGCUCUUUACAACAAUAAAAAGGGCAACGUCACGUCAUUUUUCUCUCAUUUUUUCUCUCGUUCUUUGUUUUUUCUCUUCGACCCUACUCUAUCGCUUCUACGACGCUCCACGACAAUAAAAAGGGCAACGUCACGUCCUCUUUCUUUCAUUUUUUCUCUUGUUCUUUGUUUUUUCUCUUCGACCCUACUCUAUCGCUUCUACGACGCUCCACNCUUUCUCGCCUCCAAUCCCGCCGAGGCCAUGCCGUGACCUUCUUCUUUUUUUUUUCUUUUCGAUCUUUCUCCAUCGCCUCCCUAGCUCUUUACAAUAGUAAAGAGGAUAACGCCACAUCCUCUUCCUCUUCUUUUUUCUUUAGUUCUUUUUUUUUUCUCUUCGACCCCUCUCCAUCGCCUCCGCGACCCUCCACGACAAUAACGAGGACAAUGCUGUAUCCUCUUCCUCUACUUUUGCCAGCACAGGCACCAACGCUGGCACGGAAGAAGGAGGACUCGGGGUGAAUGUGGGCGAGAGUAGAGCCGAAAACAAAAAUGCAAAAAAUAAAAAAAUGAAGAAUAAAAUAUAAAGAAAAAAAAAUUUUUCUAUAAGAAAAAUAAAAAAUCGGAGAGAAAAGAAGAAGAUGAUAAAGUUGCACUAUUUCAAAGAAACGUUGUACUGUUUCAAGACAAUAUUGUACUGUUUUAGAAAAAACUUGCUUUGAGAGAAAAAUUACACUUUUUGAAAAAAAAAAAAGUAUACUUUUUUUAACGAAAAUUGCACUUUUUGAAUAAAAGUUGCACUUUCUGGGCAAAAAUUAUAUUGUUUCUCAUCCUCCUAUUUCUUCUUCUUUUUCUUCUUUGUUCUCGUGUGUUUCUUCUGUGCCCAUAUCUUAUUUGCCCUCCAUCUCCAUCGGCAAAUCCUCCGCCCAUCUCUAUCCAACCCUUUUUAUUUUCCUCUCCGGUGGUGGAAGAGGGUUAGAGAGAAAAAAAAAGAAGGUCGUGGUACGGCCCCAACGAGCUUGGAGGCGACGAGGGUGAGGGCCUAAGGGGUGCGUGAGCAUGGGCGAGGGCACGCAGGGCAGAGACGAUGGUGGAGAAUCUGCCGACGGAGGUAGAGGGCGAAGAAGAAAUGGACACAUAAGAAACACACGAAGACAAAGAGGAAGGGGAAGAAAGAGGAGGAGAAGAAAUAAUAUAAUUUUUGGCCAAAAAAUACAACUUUUAUUCAAAGAGUGCAACUUUCAUCUAAAAGUAUAAUUUUUCUCUCAAAGAGUGUAAGUUUUCACUAAAAUAGUGCAAAGUUUUUCUAAAGCAUUGCAAUGUUCUCCUGAAAUAGUGCAACUUCAUCAUCUUUUUCUUCUCUCUCUGAUUCUUCAUUUUUCGUGUAGAAAAAAAUAUUUUUUUUAUAUUUUAUACUUUAUUCUUUAUUCUUUUUAUUUUUUAUUUUCUGCAUUUUUUUUCUCAGCUCCGCUCUCACCCGCACUCGCUCUGAGUUUUCCUUCUCGAGCACUGGCGUCAGUCCCUGCGGCGGCGAAGGAGGGAAAAAGGAUACGACACUGUCCUCGUUACUAUCGUGGAGAAUUGCGGAAGCGGUAGAGAGGAGUCGAAGAGAAAAAGAACAAGAAUGAGAUAAUAAAUGAGAGGAAAAGGAUUGCCCUCUUUACUGUUGUAAAGAGUUGGGGAGGCUGUGGAGAAGAGUUACAUAGAAAAAAAAGGCUCGUGAUAGCGGAGUCGGAGGCGAGAAACGCAGAAGGAGGGUGUGCGGAUGAAGGCGAGGUCGCGUAGGACAGAGGCGAGGUGGGUGCCUCCGCCUUAGCUGCCCUCUUUGGAGAGAAAGACAAAAAAGAGAACGAGGGAAAAAGAAAGGAGAGAGAAAAAGGAAUAAGGAUGUUUUGGUUAGUUUUCUUAAAAUUCGGUCCGAAUUUGCAAAAUUCAAAAAGAUAGCCUAUUUUUGCAAACGCUCAAAACUAAUAAAUUUUUUAUGCAAAUUGGCCUUUACAUUUUUUAAAUUAAAAAAUUACUAAUUGACUCAAAUCAAAUAAAUUAAAAGAUCAAAUAGUAAAAUUAAAAUUUUUAAAAUUAGGUAUUCAAACCUAAAUAAUUUAUUGUUGAGAUAAGUUUUAUAUAUUUUUACCUUCCGAGGUAUUUGGUUGUACAUAAAACCGCAAAAAAAAAUUUCAUGGAAAAAAAAGUUUUGCAUUUUGUACUAGGUUUGUAGGAAAGAAAAAGUGAUUUUUAUCAAUAUUUAUUUGAUUGAGAGAAAAAACAAUCACAUUUGUUUGGUACGCUGGAAAAAAUGAAUGAAAAAAAUUUUACAUGGCUUGAGUUUUCAUUUUCCGCCGAAGUCGAAAAUUGAUGAAAAAUAAAAUUUUCCAUUUUUUUCAAAUUGUAAAAAUAAUUUUCCAAAAUAUAUUUUUACUGCUAAACAAAUACAUAAAAAAUAAUUUUUCAAGCCGAAAAAUAAUUUUCGUCAUCCCUUAUCAAUACCAAUAUAUUAAAGGGCCAACCGAAAACUCCUUCUACAGUCACUCCGCGUUUUUGGUGUGGAUCCCGCUGUUUUCGGCCUGUGGGUCCCUCUCUCUAUGCUGGUCAUCUCUCUCUCUUUCCCCCUCUCCGUAUUUUCGGUUUAGUGGGUCCCAUAGAGAAGGGUUCCUGUUUAAAUAUUACUAGUGCAGGGACCCGCGCGUUGCUUCGGAUAACUAUUGUAGAAUUAAAAAUUUAUAGAGAAUAAAAUAUAAAGAUAUACAAUUCAAAAAAAAAAAAAUCAAAAUAAGGCAUAUUUUCAUAUUCCAUGAAGCUAGAAAAGAAAAUGCAUGAACAUAUUAGCACAAUUAAGUUAUAUUUAUUAAAAAAAUAAUUGAAGGCUUAAAUUUUUUUAUAUAAACCAUACACUCAUUUUAGAGUUAUAUAUAGUUCUUUCCUUUUCCUGAGGAAGGAGCGAUCAAGCGUGUGGGAGUAGGGAUUAUAUAAGAGCUCUAAAAUAAUUUAACUUAUAAAAUAAUUGCAAAUUCUUUGUCAUACUUUUUUUUAUAAAAUAAUUGCUUGUUCUUACAAUUCUCUUACACUCUCUUUUUCUAAUUUUUAAGUAAACUUUAUUUAUGUUUCUUUAUAUACAUUAUUUUUCUUUUUUUUUUUAUACUAUCAAGGCUAAAGAGAAAUAAAGAAGAAAUCAUCAUACUCAUAAUUGACGAAGCCAAAACCAUGGCUUAUUUCGGAGCUUGAAUUACAAACAGACACAAAAAAAAACAAAUUAUACAAAUAACUAAUAAAUUGGAAACUAAGUAAAUCAUUGUGGCACUUCAAAUGAAAGAAGCAAAUUUUCAUAUAAAUGACAACACAAAUUCCAACAUAAAGAAAGAAAUAAAAGAAAAUCUUCUGCCUUGCAUAAAAAUUAGACGACAAAAUCACAAACAAUCUGAGUUACUUACCCUUUUGAGUAACCAGGAAGUAGCGCCUCAGAGGACCCUCCUUGGUAAAAAGUAAAAACCUCCUCCAACUAAAUACACCAAUGAAAACAAAAGCAAUCAAAUCCCCCUCCUUUCACCAUCAAAGUGAAACCCUAAUUUGUGAAAAUUGUCGAAGAAGAAGAUGAAUUGGGCAAAGGAAGAACCUAUGAGGACUUGAAUGAGUAAGGGAGUUCGGAGACGACGAUUGUGGCGGGGCAGUGCUUGGCGUCGCCUUCGCCGCCACCGCUAUUGUUGUCCGUUGCAAAAACUCCUCUCAGAUUUGAGGUUUUUCGGCCAAAUCUGAAGCCAUUUUCGGUGUCGAUUUAUCCUUAUCCUCAUCAUUUGCGGUGUUUUCUUUCUGCAGGCCAUUAUCGGCAGGGCGGAGGGCACCACCAGUUCUAUUCUGAAGAUCCCGCCUUCCAUGGCUGCACACCAUCUCGAUCGGACAUAUUUUCGAUCAAAGAUAAGAGCUUUAGACCCUCUGGAAAGUACAACGACAGAGGCGGUAGCAAGAGGAUCGGCGACAAAGGUGGAAUGAGAGUUGGGGAUCUUUCCUGCGAUCUCUCUUUUGGGAUUCCUAGCAGCAGCAAAAAUGUAAAAACGGAAAGUGGGGAAAUGUAAGGAAAAGGAAUAGUCGUAGGGACACGAAUAACUCUGUUCAUUGCUUAUAUAUUUACUUCAUUAAUGAAAAUAUUGUGACGGACGGUUCAUUGCUUCAUUAAUGAAAAUAGAAAAGUUCAUUGCUUAUAUAUUUGCUUCAUUAAUGAAAAAAUUGCAACGGAAGAAAGGAAAAAAUGACUCAAAGAGGGGAGGGGAAACGUUGAGGCGGUUUGGUUUAGAGAUUUAGAGACGUGGAUUGGUUUAAAAGAAGAUUAGCAAAAGUAAAGAAAAAAUUAUCACGUGGCAAAAGCUAUUGGGGAUUCAUAUAUUGUAAUAAAUUAGAGUAAUUGAAAUAGGAGGAAACUUCCGUUGCCCACGGCUGAUGUGGUGCACAGGGUCCAUGCAGUAAUUACUCGAAGCCACCCGAGCCGUCGAGCCGUUUCGUUCCACGUGGAGAUCUUCCAUUGGCUACGUCUUCGGCGUGACUUGUCAGAUAGUGGUCCCCACAUGUGGUCCUGGCCUCGGAAGGUGCGACACGUGUACGGUUGGUGCUGUCCUGAAAAGGACCCAUCAUUCCCCCUUGCCUCGCGCGCUUCUCGAUCGGAACGCUCGUCCGCAACGCAACCCCACGCCUCGCGAGCGACUUGGCCAAACACUAACCGUCCGAUUCGUGUCAAAUCGUACUUCGGCGGCGCGAAGCCCAUCCACCGGCCGAUUCUCUCAAAAUCUCCGCUCGUUAAACCGGUUCCCGGUUUUUUUUUUUUAGAAAAAUGCUAUAUAUACAUUUAUAUACACACACACACACAUCUCAUAAAUAAUCCGGCCAAUAAAUAGGUACAAUGUAUAAUUUACACCCUGAAAAAGUGUACGGAUUAUAUUGCUCAAUUAUUGUUAUUAUUAUCUUGAUUUAUCAAUUAAAAAAAAUUAUGUUUGCAUCAUAUUUAUUUCUAUCACAUUUUGAGAGAACAAAUCAAGUAUAACUCUACACUAAAAAUUUUUUAUACACGAGACUAAUCCUGCUAUACAAUGCAAUUAUAUGAAUGCGUCAUUUAUAUCAGACUGUGCCCACUAAUUUUGUCGAUCAUAGCGGCGGAAUAGUCAUGAUGCGCAAAGUUUUCUGCACGUGGUUAUGCAGAAAAUCUAUACUCACGGUUCAAUCUCAUUAUAAUUUUUUCAAUAAUUUUCUUAAUUAAAUAAUUAAAAUAAACAUAUAAGAGAAAAAAAAAUAUUAAUAGAUAUGUGGCAUAAUACAUCAAAAAUUUUCCAUGGAAUACAAAAAUGUGAGGUAAGAUAUUUUUAAAAAUUCAUAUUAUCAUAUUCCAUUUAAAAAAUGUUUCAGCAUUAAAAUAAAAAUUUUAACAAAGUCCCUGAUGUUGUGUGGGCCGUUACUACGAACCUUUAGUUUUAACAUUUCGUAUAAUUUACGCUCCUCCAUUAAUAUUUCGUUAAAUUAUAUUAAAAAAAACUUCAGAUAUCUCAUCUAAGUUUAUCAAAUAUUUACUUUAUUUUUUUUUCGUUUUAACUUUGUGACUAAUUUAACGAAAAAGAAAUAGUAGAGAAAAUAAUAAAUAGAAAAAAAAACUAUGAAUACUAAAUUGAUACACUUUAAACCAUAUGCUACUUAAAAAGUGCAAAAGUAGAGAGGGUUUUUUUUUCUGGAAUUUAUGUUAGGUGUGUAAAUA
Molecule: long non-coding RNA, 54787 nt
Filed under: Ananas comosus (pineapple)
Lineage: Eukaryota; Viridiplantae; Streptophyta; Magnoliopsida; Poales; Bromeliaceae
Description: long non-coding RNA (ACOM_LNC002985)
Source: RNAcentral